AUCAGAAUAAAAGUUUUGUUAACACUGCAAAAUACUAAAUAACGGCAUAAGAUUUCGUAACCAAAAUCCACACCAUGGAUUUACUCCUACCAUUGUUAAUAAUCCCGUUCACGUUGGUGCUGUGGGUUUUACUGUCUUCAAUUCGCAGAAAAACGGCGCCGUAUCCACCGGGGCCAAAAGGCCUUCCCAUCAUAGGCAACAUCAACAUCAUGGAUCAGUUCACACACAGAGGCUUGGCCAAAAUCGCCAAGCAAUACGGCGCCGUUUUGCACCUCCGCAUCGGCUUCCUCCACACGGUGGUCAUUUCAAAUGCCGAAGCGGCGCGUGAAGUGCUCCAAGCCCAAGACAAAAUAUUUUCCAACCGCCCUGCCACCGCAGCCAUCAGGUACCUAACCUACGACCGCGCCGACAUGGCUUUCGCAAACUACGGACCCUUCUGGCGCCAGAUGCGCAAAAUCUGCGUCAUCAAACUCUUCAGCCGCAAGCGCCCCGAGUCCUGGAACUCCGUCAGAGACGAAGUCGACACCGUCGUCCGCACCGUUGCGGCGAACGUGGGCAGCCCCGUUAACGUGGGGGAACUGGUGUUUAACCUCACGAAAAACAUCAUCUACCGUGCCGCGUUCGGGUCCAGUUCCCAACAGGAACAGGAGAAGUUCAUUUCAAUUAUUCUGGAGUUUUCAGUGUUGUUUGGAGCCUUGAACAUUGCGGACUUUGUGCCUUGUCUCGGGUGGAUUGAUCCUCAGGGCCUCAACUUGAGACUGGUGCAGGCACGCGCCGCCUUGGAUAGCUUCAUUGAUAAGAUCAUUGAGGAGCAUGUGGAGAAGAAGAGGAGUGGGAAGAGUUGUGACGAUGAAAGUGACAUGGUUGAUGAGUUGCUGAACUUUUACAGUGAAAAUCCCAAAUUGAAUGAAGAAUCAAACGACCUCCACAACUCCAUCACACUCACCAAACACAACAUCAAAGCCAUAAUCAUGGUAUCCUACUUCUAUGCCCUUUUAACUCUUCUCUUCUCUUCUCUUCUCUUAUAUUUCUAUAUAAUUAUUCCAAUCAAAUACUUCUCUUCAGAUUUACAUCGAGGGAUUCAUCCAUUAAAUUAAGUUUUUAAAACUCUUUUUUUAAAAAUAAUUUUUAAAUCUUAUUACUUCUAAUUAUUUAUCAUAUUUAACUAUGGCAUACAAGCGAUGGUAAAAAAGUUAAAUAUUUUCUUUUGUAAAAAACAAUUUAGCGAAAAAUUAAGUUAAAAAAUUCUCAAAAAAAUGUUUUCUGCAAAUAUAGUUUUUUAAAUGAUAAACUAAAUAUGCAAAAUUUAUGGUUGAAAUUUUGAAAACUUUAUAUUUUUUUUGCAAAGGCUACCUUGUACCCACACAGUUUUUUUAUGGUAAAAAUUAAUAUUUAAUAAGAUUUGUGUACAUAUUGUACUUUACUGAGAAUUAAGGACUAUCAAGUGUUUACUGUUCCUAAUUUAAACUUUCUAUAUAUAAUAAAAAAUUGAAUGAAUUCAAUCGCAUAACAUGUAAUUAUUACAUUUGGCUCUAUGUUUAGAAUAUUUAUCUCAGUAUAUAUAUUGUUUUCUAAAAAAUCAAAUAAAUUAAAAUAAUUAUUUUUAAUGUUAUUUUAGGGUGUCACACUAGAUUAAACAGUCGAAAAGGUUUGGUUUGCGUAAUUUAAAACAACAAUUAUUCUUUCUUUUUACAUAUUUUCUUAUUCAUUAAAACUAAACAAAAAAAGUUAAUGCUAAAAAUGGUAAUUGUAAUGUAAGUGAGGACUUGGACAUUACGAACAAAUGAUAUCACGUAGUGUGUAUUGCAUGAGAGAGUGCAUGCAUAAUUUUCCAAAGAAUAAGGUGAAAGCAUAGAAGUUCGUUACUAUUUCACUUUCACUUUUUCGACCAUAAAAGGGAAAAACAAAUAAGUGAUAACAAUUGCACAACAUGCAGCACGUUGUGCAGGACGUCAUGUGUAGAAACAUUGCAAAAGACAGAGUUUUGGGAUAAACCUGUUUCAAGCAAUUUUUACUCUGUUGUAUUUGGCUACAUCUUUUUGUUUUUUUAUGUGGUUUUUAACGUGGAGAUGAGAGAAUAAAUAUUAUCAUUGAAGAAUUAAUUUCUAUAUUUGAUCAUUUUGGUCAGUGUAACUACAAAAAGUAUUUUGUCAUUCAAAUAAAUAUUUGGUAUUUGGGUACAAUAAUUACUAUAACAAUAAUAUAUAUUUAUUUUGGUAGAAAUGUUCAAUAUUUAAGUGUAAUUAUUAUUAUAAUAAUAAUGUAUACUUGUUUUGCUUAUUAUACCUAUUUAUAAUACAUAAUAUAUUGAUGGACUUUUUACUUUUGGACUUAAAUCAAAGUGUAUAUGUUAAAAUUAAUUUGAUACUACUUAAUUCCUAAUCAUAAUACUUUGGAUCGAUACCGGAAUACUAUAUAACUCAAUUGAUUGUUGGGAUUAUAUACCUUAUCUUUUUAUAUUAUAUAUGGAUUGUAACAUUUCUAAUAUUUAUUUAUUUAUUUAUUAAUUAAUUAGUGAGAAAAAAUAAAUAAAAAUGCAGGACGUGAUGUUCGGAGGGACCGAAACGGUGGCAUUAGCAAUUGAAUGGACGAUGGUGGAGCUAAUGAGAAGCCCAGAAGACCUGCAACGCGUGCAGCAAGAACUCGCUGACGUGGCAGGUCUGGACCGGCGCGUGGAGGAAUCGGACCUUGAAAAGCUCGCCUUUCUGAAAUGUGCGGUGAAGGAGACGCUGCGGAUGCACCCGCCGAUUCCACUUCUCCCCCACGCGGCGGCGGAGGACGCGGUGGUGUGUGGGUACCACGUGCCGAAGGGGUCGCGGCUGAUGAUAAACGCGUGGGCCAUAGGAAGGGACGGGGACUCGUGGGAGGAGCCGGAAGCGUUCAAGCCGUCGCGGUUUCUGAACCCGAGCGUGCCUGAUUUCAAAGGGAGCAACUACGAGUUCAUUCCGUUCGGGUCGGGUCGCAGAUCCUGCCCCGGAAUGCAACUGGGUCUUUAUGCGCUGGAAGUGGUCGUGGCGCACUUGCUUCACUGCUUCACGUGGGAGUUACCCGAUGGGUUGAAACCAGCGAGUUGGACACGAGUGACGUGUUCGGACUCACCGCGCCCGGGCGAGUCGACUCGUGGCGAUUCCAUCGAAACGUGUGUCAUGCAUGUCCUCUCUAACGUUUGCUUAUGCAAAGAAGAAAAAAAGUACCUCAAGUGUACGAAUAACGGUCAUAAGAAAUUUAAAUAAAUAAAAAUAUAAAUUAGUUUAUAAAUAAAUAAAAUUUACUAUUCAAUUCAUUUCACAAAAAUCAUUAUAUCUCUUCCACCUUUCUUUUAUAAUUUUGAAUCCACCUUAAAUAUUUUCUAUGAACUGAAUUAUUCAACUUCUUUCUGUAUGAGUGUGAAAUUAUGUAAAAGAUUAACGCAUUACUAUUAAUCCAAAACCUUAUAUAUAUCUAGUGGUUAUUAUUUAAUAUGGAUUGAUAAUAUAUACUAUCAUGUUAUGAGUAUUUUCAUUUAAAAGCCAACAUUUUCUUAUUAUUAACGUGAUUUGCUAUAUCCUAGUUAGAAGAAAAUAAUUAUAUAAGUGGUAAAUGACCAGCUAGUAAAAGAAAUUUAUUUGUGAAAUAUAUAAAUAUAAAAAAAUAUUUGGGUAUUCUCUUGUGAAAUAUAAAAAUAUAUAUUAUUCUAAGAAGUCUAAAAGUUAUUUGAUUAAUAAUGUUAAUAGUUAUUUGAUUCAAAUUGGCUUUAAUCUAGAUGUUUCAAUCAAGAUUUAUGUUGAUCAUGUUUCUGCAAUUAAUCUUGCAAAAAAAUCUUGUUUUUCAUCAAAGAAUUAAACACAUUGAUAUUCGAUAUCAUUUUCUUAUAGACCAAGUUGGAAAGAACAUGAUAAAUUCAAAUUCAAACAUGAAGGUGGUUCAAAAUCAGAAUUAAUGGAUUAUGUUGAUAUUAAUUCAGAUUUUAUUUACUAAAUUAAAGUUUGAAUUAGUCUUAAAUUGUUGUCUUAGUUUAGUGUUAAUAUUGUAUUAAUGGUUUAGUGGUUUUGAAAGUGUAAUCCGGUAUUAGUAUUGUAGGUGAGAGUUGAGUUAUUACUCCUAUUUUAUAGGUUCUGAUAGUUUUGUAAUUUUAUUUAUAUAUAUUGUCAAAGUAAAUCAACAAUAUGCAUCAACAUUAUAUUGACUUCUAUUAUUUCUUUCAAAUACAUUAAGAUUUGAUGUUGAUUGCUUGCUAUAUAGGUAAAUGCAGAGAUUUAUUAGACGUAUAAGAAGUAGAUUCUAUAAGUUAUACAGUAUUUAUAUAAUAUGAUAUAACAUCAAAUUAAACAAUAAAACUGUAAAAUUAAUCAGAAACAAAAACAAGUUGAUUCAGAUUUUUUUUCUAUUCAAACUUAACUAUACAUGACUUUUAUGUUUUUAUUUGGAUAUAUUUUUAAUAAUAAAUUAAACCAACCCAUAUCACGAACACCCUAAUUUUAAAUUAUUUAUGAUAAAAAUUAAGAAUUUGAACACACAUAUAUAUAUAGUAUCAAUUAUUGAUUGAAUAAGUGGAUUAAAAAAUAGAACUAUGUUAGUGCAUUUGAAUUAAAUUAUAAUAAUAAUAAUAAUAUAUUGUUUAAUUUAAAAAGCAAAAAAAGACAUCAUAAUAAUAUUUUUUUUAAAAGAAAACUAGGAUAGAGAAAAUGUCUUUCAACAUAUGUGGGAAAUGAUGUAUACUUUUCAUAAAUUAUUUUUUGUUCGGCAAAGUAUACUUUUUAUAAAUAUCUAUUCCGAAUGACAAAUUGAACGGGGUGACGUGAUAAGCUUGGAUAAAAAUAAAUAAUAAAAUACAGAAAGAGGCAUACCUUAAAUAAAAAUUAUAAUUUUUUUUUUGAAAAAUUUAUAUUGUGUUUUUCUAUAAAUAUGUGUAUUUUCAUAUAUAGUUUCAAAAGCCUACCUAGAAUAGGUGGCUCUACCUUAAUUAAUUCUCAUUUAAUUCUUUUAAUAUUUUUAGUUGUAAGAUUUUUCACAAAGUUUUAAUUAUGUAGUAAUUUUAACAUUUCACUUUCAACAAAGGGUACUGUAUUUGAGUAAUUUAUUUCAUUUAUUUUCAAUAUAUUUGAUCUUAAAUAAAUUUAAGAAAUUUUAAUUUUAAGAUUAAAUAACAAUUAUAAGUAUUAUCAGUAAUAUUAUGUGAGUAAUACGUGCAUUAAACAUAUAACCUUUUAAUAUAAUAUAUUAUUUUUGAAAAAAAAUUAUAAUAAGACAACAUAUUAUUCAAUUAUUUAAAUCAAUAGUAAUUUUAACUCUAAUGUAUUAAAAAUGCUUGAGCCUUCCAAACUUUGAACCUUAGCCACUAAGUUUAUGAUCUAAUAUUAAAGGCAAUCAUAAAACCGUUACCAUGUCUCCAUCCGUCUCAUUAUUUUUUAGUAUUUUNNNNNNNNNNNNNNNNNNNNNNNNNNNNNNNNNNNNNNNNNNNNNNNNNNNNNNNNNNNNNNNNNNNNNNNNNNNNNNNNNNNNNNNNNNNNNNNNNNNNNNNNNNNNNNNNNNNNNNNNNNNNNNNNNNNNNNNNNNNNNNNNNNNNNNNNNNNNNNNNNNNNNNNNNNNNNNNNNNNNNNNNNNNNNNNNNNNNNNNNNNNNNNNNNNNNNNNNNNNNNNNNNNNNNNNNNNNNNNNNNNNNNNNNNNNNNNNNNNNNNNNNNNNNNNNNNNNNNNNNNNNNNNNNNNNNNNNNNNNNNNNNNNNNNNNNNNNNNNNNNNNNNNNNNNNNNNNNNNNNNNNNNNNNNNNNNNNNNNNNNNNNNNNNNNNNNNNNNCUUGAAUGAUAUUAAAGAAAAGAGUAUUCUAACAGGUGAGUUAAUCUUAUCAUUAUGGAAGAUUUCGUACACAUGAGUUAUGCUUAAUUAAUUAUCUUAAAUGGUGGUUAAUCUUGAAAUUUCAAGAUAUGUUAGACUUUUAGAAGGUUUAGCCACUUGUACCGGUUUCUAGUCCAUCAUAUGAAAUAUAGUAUUUUUGAAAUAUUCAGACACGCAUGUCGAUUCCUAGUCGGUCAUGCACAAUAUAAAUCUCAUUUGUGAUACUAUGUUUAUAAAUAAUUUGUAAUUUUUAUUGUGUUUAUAGAUAGUUUGAAUUUUUAUAUUUGUCAAAAAUUAAAUUUAAUAUUUUCUAUCAAAUAAAUCAUCCGUAUGAAUAGUUAGUGAUUAUCACUUAUAGAUUUGUAAUAAAUAAUUUAUAUCAGAGUAUAAAGUAAAGCCUAAUUAUUUGAUGAUUUAUUUAUAAAAAUUAUUGACUAGAUUUAGAAAUAAAGAUAAAGAUAUGGAAGAUUAAGUAGGUAAAUAAAGAAGUAAAGAAUAAUUUAUUACUAUUUAGAGAUAAAUGUGGCGAGCAACUUUUUGGUAUUUAUAUAUUUAGUGAUUGAAUUAUAUAUUCUUAUUGAAAUGAUUUUUAUAUAAUAUGAUAUCUUCAGUGAAUCAGAUUUUUAUACAUAUGGUUAUGAACUGGUUUUAAUAUAUUAAAUUGGUUUUCAUAUAAUUGUUCAUUAAACUAGUUUAUGUAUAAUUGUUCGCUAAAUUGAACUUUUAUAUAAUUAGUUUCUUUAUAAUGAUAAUUGUUAGAAAUGUAAAUAGAAAAGUUGAGUAAUAUUUACAAACUUAAUAUCUUAAAGUUUUAUAUUGAAUAUGGCAUUAUAGUGUUUUUUAUUGACUAAACUCGUGAGUUACUUAUGGUGAAUCUCCUUAAUGUAAUUGAUGAUAAAUUAAUUUUUAAAUCAAAAUUAAAAUUAAUUUUUAAGAUUAUCUAUCAAAGUUUUACCUACUUUCUAAGAAAUUAUCUCUACUUUAAUUCUUUUCUUAUACAAAAUUUUGAACUGUCAAUACUCGAGUAAAGCAAAUUAUAACACCUUCUUUAUGUUGAUUUGUUGUGAAUAAAAAUAUUAUUUUGAUGUAGGUCUCACAUAAUUAGAUUUAUGAGUGUUCUAUGGUAUGGUUUAAUUUACUUUUAGACUAAAAAUUAUCCAAACCAAAAAAAGUGUGAUGUGAUUUGUUUUGGUUGAAAUUAACCAUGGAAUCUAUAUUUAAUCAAACUUUUGCCGCUUGAGUUGAUACUAUUUAUGGUUAUAAAAUAAUUUUGCUAUGUAUUAUUUAUUAAAAAAAACAUUAAUUAAAACAUAAACUAAAUAAAAUAUAAAUAAAUAAACAUAAUGUACUGCGUGAUUGGAUUUGCUUUAGUCUUUAACUCCUAAACUACUAACUGAAUCGAAUAGAAGAUUUUGAAGGAAAAAAAAAAUCAAAUACAAUGAAAUGAUGUCCAAUUUUUCACAAUUUACAAUUUUUAAUUUGAUUUUCAAUUUUUAAAUUAGAUUGGUUAGAUUCUAAAAAUCUUUAAUUCAAUUGUUUAAAUUUGAACAAUUAUUAAUAAUUCUCUUCAAUCUCAAAUCACUCAAAUUAUGACACCUACUUAAAAUUUAGGUUUUUAUUUAUAUUUUUUUAUAAAUAACUCUUAUAAAAAAACACUAGGAGUGUGAUAACUUAAUUACACAAAAUUAUAGAUUUAAACGAGUUGCAUUAUCAAAUUUAUCCACUUUUAAUACUAAAUAUUGAUUAUUUUAUUUUCAUUAAUUUCAUUUAUUAUAUAUAUAUAUAUAUUUUUCAUGACUUAAUACGAAAUAAAACAAUUUUUCUUCUUGUCUUCCUUUUCAUCUUCCACAGUAUUGUUGAUAAUUUGACUUUUGGUUACUAGGCUGGUUGACUUGAAGUUUCCUUGAUUGAAUUGAUUUAGGUUUUUUCUCAAUUAGAUAGACUUAGAUUCUCUUCUAAUUAGAUGAAUAUAUUUAUAAAGUACUUCAAUAAUAAAGUUAGAAUCUGUUCGAUUAAGUUAUACUUUCAUAAAAAUAUUUUAUUUCUCUCAAUAGCCAUGUAUUUUCCUACCCUCUAUAUAUACAUAAUUACCACUUAAUUAAUUAUGUCUUGGUUGAAAAAAAUAAUCGAUAAUAUGAAUAAAAUGUUUUUUAACAUGAUAUUUAUUUAUUUUAUUUACAUAACAAAAGGUUAACAUUUUUAUUCAAUCAAAUAAAAACACAUUUUAAACUAAUUUAGUGACGUACCCAAGUAAAAUUUUACUUCGACUUCGUCCUGUUUACUUGGUCUCUGAAUCUUGCUUUCUCUUUAAUUUAGUCUAAAGUUAUUUUACAAUUGUAUUGUAAUAUUCAUGCACCUUUUUUUUGUUUCUAAUUAAGCUUUUAGGUUUAUUUUAAAAAAAAGUUUGUUCCGUUGUCUAAAAUCAUAUUAUUUAAAUUAAAUUUGUUUGCGAUCCUUCGUUUAAUCAUAGUUAUUAAAUGAUCAAUCCAAAGUUAGUGUUUAAUCAUGAUUUAAAAGAUCAAGGAACAAUUUUUUAAACGGAAAUACAUACAAAGAAAAAUUGAAAGAAGUCUUAAGCAACCCAUUUAUUUUAUUUUAUUUCUUACUUGCUAGAUAAAUUUAGGAUUAAAAAAUAAAGAACUCAGAAAACCUCAUAUAGUUUGUGCUGCAAAUCAUAUUUUGACCCUCUUUUCACCCUCCCACCCUUCCUAAGAAACAAUAAAGAAUAAACAACAUGCACAUAUAAAUAUAUAAUGGUAGUUGCACAAGCAAUUUAAACUUUAUAUAAUAAAAAAAAUCUUCCUAAGAAACCAAAUUAACACAGAGAUUUCUUUUAAUAAAAAAAACAAAUUGACAAAGACAUGGGUUCGCAAUAAAGCAAACUUAGGAUGAUAAUAAACUAUAUUCAUUGCUUAAUGUAUAAUUUAAAAGAAAACCCAACAACCCAGCAUGAAUAAAAUACAACACACAUGUAUGCGUUUCUCUUAUAAAUUUACCAAUUAUAAUUAAUCCAUUGGUAAGAUAUUUGCACUAACAAGUUGGUUAGGGUACCACAUUUCUAUCACAUGAUGCUUUUUUUAUAUUAUAGAAAUCUCAAUUAGCCUCAACUUUUGAAUAUGAGUGAGUGUCUUUAACUCUUUAUAGCUAACCACCUUCGCUUUGUUCAUCAUUGAGUUUGAUUUUCAACUAUGGUGAGCAAAGUUCCUACAAACCCAUUUUCGAUGGUGAAGGCAGUGUUUCACUGAAUCAUGUUAAUGGCACAAUCUUCACAUUUAAAACGUUAGAGUUAUGAAGUUUUAAAAGUUUAAUGACAUUGUACAUUAGUUUUAUUCAACCACUUGAUGUCAAAUCUUAGAAAAAUGGGUUUGAAUUUAUCUAUCCAAAGCAUUUAAGUGUAAUGUCACUUCAUCUUUAGGACAAUAAUGAAUCUUAUAGAUUUGGGAGAUAUAGAAGAAGAAACUUUUAAUCUUCUAAGAAUUUAAAGCUGGAAAAACAUCUUCUCUAUGUUCGAUUUAUGUUUAAAAGCUAAAGUUUUCAAUAAAUAAGGUUUCGGAGUUGGUUUUUAUAUGUCAAUAUUCAUAAAAAAGUCAUGGAAGAGAUAAAAACUAACUUUUCUAAAUUAAUUAACAUAAAUAUUUUGAUGAAAAAAUAACAUUUUUUAUUUCAUCAUUUUAUAUAAUAAUGAAUAAAGAUUUUGAUAAAAAAAAAAUAUAUAUACUAUCUAUACAUAGUUCAUAAUUUCUAAGACUUCAUAUAAAGUUCCUUUUUAAAAGUUAUGUAGCAAAGCAUGACCAUGUUCAAAUGUAAGCACCCUUGACUAAAUAAGAUCAUGUCCUUGUUGGAUCACUAUUAUUGUGUUUUCAGUCAAAACAAUUGUUACCUCAAUACAGUUUUGUUGAAACUUGCAUCUAUAUAAAGCAUUAUUAUAGAAAAUAGGCAUCCAAAUUAUUUUUUAAAUAUAUUAUUUUCUAUAACUGAAAUUUAAAUUUGAUUUUUUUAUCAAUGAAAUACAAACCAUACAUAUAUAGGUACAUAGGAAUAUUAGAGGUGCUAUGACCUUAUACAAAUUGCUCUCAAUACAAAUAUGAUAAUAUAAGAACUAAACCUCAAAAUUAAAUAGAUAAUCAUUUUAUAUCUCACCACUUAAAACCAACAAUAAUUUUAAUUCUAGACAUUAUAAUAAAAAAUAUCAUAAAAUCUUGAAACCUAAUUGUGAAAUUGAAUUUGGAAAUGAGAUUAAAUACCAAUAUCCUUUUGAAUAAGAUCUAAGUUAGUCCCUAGUAUUACAUUAUUUUGUAAAAUAUUUUUUGAUAUAUUUAUGCAACUAGAAUGGUGUCAUCACUUUUUUUUGACAAAUAAGUACUUGUAGUUUUUUAACCAAAAUAUGUAGUUCAUUUGUAAAAGCUUUUAGUUUAUCCUUGAUAUUUUUUAAUAGCUUAAGUUCGAUGGUUGCCUUUUGAUCUAUUGUUGCUAGAACUAUUUUACUUUGUUUAUGGAUUUCUUUCACGUGUUCCUUGUGCUACUUUUAUAAAUCUCUCGUAUGUUUAUUAUUUUUCUUUUUGUACCCCCAAUCAAGUUUAUGAAGUUGUUAGCAACUCAAGAAUUGUUCAUGUUUUCUGUUCAUUGAAUUACAUAAUGUGGCUUAGGAAAGAAAAUUCCUAGACUUUAUGAUGGGUGUCAAAUAUUUUUAGUAAAAGGUGGAAUGUUGUUAAAUGAGUUAGGUAUUCUCACCAAGUUGUAUAGAUUCUUAAGUUUUAAAAGAGAUCACUCAAUAUAGAAUGAAUAUCUUUUUGAAUAAGAUUCUUCAAUACUCAUAUUUGUUAUAAAAUAAAUUAUUUUUAUUAAUAUAAAGAGCAAGUGAAUUGAGUGAGAUAAUACACUCUUGAAUAUUAAUGUAAUCAUAUAUAUGCUUUUAGCUUAAACAAACAAGGUCAAAUUAAUCGGAUAAUCCAACAAAAAUUAAAAUUUAUUAUAAAAUUGUUUUGUUACCUAUAAUAGCAAAAUAUAUUAUUGGAGAUCUCACAUCAAUUAGAAAUAAAAUCAAUUUAUAAGAAUAAUUUUGAAGUCGAUUUUGUAAAAAUGAGUUGAUCUUAAAUUUUUUUUUUAAUAUGAUAUCAAUGUCUCUUAAUCAAGAUUAUUGUGUCUAGUGUGGAAAUAACCCAUAAAUAUUUAGUUUCACAUAAAGAUGUUUAUACCUCAACGAAAAAGUAUAUGUUGGACAUCUCAUAAAAAAAAAAAAAGUUAAUUUAUAAUAUAUAAUUGAAAACAAUCCUUACCUUUCAACUUGGUUUUUUAUAUUUAAAUAUAAAAAUAAAUUAAGAUUAAAUUCACUUUUUAAUAUAUAUAAUUUUGGUUAAUAGUUAAUUCGAUUAAGAUGUAAUUAUGAUGAUGAACAGAUAAUAUAGUUAUAGAAUCUGAAAAAGAAAAACACGUUAAAUAGCAAUAGUAAUUUCUGGUGUGUAGUAAAUUAUGGUUGGAGCACGAAUAGUUGUAUUAAAAUAGUAAAGAUAAAAAAACUCCUUUGACGGUUCUAUAGCUACCCUAUUUGUUUAGGUAGCUUUUAUGUUUUGCUAAAGGGCAAAACAAACGUAGUUCAUCCUAAUUCUACACGUUAUGGACAUGCAGGUUUGCUAAAGGACUAUUCUCUUUCUAACUACUGAAAGUGAAAUUAGUACAAAUAACGUUUUUUGAGUUUGAAACAAAAGGUUAAAAAAUAUUUACUUUGAUCUAAAAGUAUUUUGUGUUACGGAUUCCCGUGAACAAAAUGAACAAAUAAUUGGGAGACACUAUUGUUUUUCGGAGUACAUUUUAAAUUCUCCUCACUAAAAUCAAAACAUACACAAGAAACAUGCAAAUAUAUACCAGUUGUAAUUAUGUUCGGUAAUACUUGCUGUACGAACUGGUAAAAAAAUAGGUUUCGUCUAAUAAUAUUAACUACUAAUAAUUUAAAUUAUAAAAUAGUUAAAAUCUUUAAAACUAAUUAUAUAUUAAUUUAAAAAUGAUUUAUUAAUAAUAAAAACUAUUUUAAAUAUUAAUAAUUUUUUAAUUUUUAUAAUAAUGUCUAAUUUAAUUAAUAUAGUAAUGGAUUAUUUUUAGUUUUAAAAUUAAUUUUUAUUUAAUAAUAUUUUUAUAAUGAAAUAAUAUUAUCAGAUUUUAUUAGAUGGAGUUGACAUUAUGUAAUAGUGUGAAAUAACACUUCCUAACAGAAGUCAUAUUGUCAUUAUAAAUGAAAUCACUAAUUAAGAUGUUGAUGGUUCCUUAUAUUUCUUAUUCAUCAUGUUUUGUGGUUAAUCAUUUUGUUUUAUCAGUUAUCUCAUCAUUUAAAUAUUUUUCUAUUAAUAAAAAAUAAUAAAAUAAAAUGGAACAUUUUAGAUAUGUUGAAAUCCUUAUUCAUCAUUGUAAUGUUAUUUUCCUUCGAUAUUGAUGUACAAAAUUAUUAGAAUUAACUUCGUUAUACUCUUGUAUUUAUAAGGGUAUGAAAUUAAUAACACAUGUAUUCUCUAUUUUAUGGAAUAAUUAAAAAUUCAUGGCUCCUUCCAUUGUUUUUCUUUCAAUCAAGAGCAUCAAAGGUGGAAUAUAUAAUGAUUAAAAUAAAUAAAUAAUCAAACACCCUUUAUAAUACAUACACCUAUCCAUGUACUAAAAAUAAUUAUAUUUAUAAAAUACGAAAAAUAAUAAAGUAACACAUGGCAGUGAGAUGAUUAGAUCUCCUUAGGUCAUUAGUCUCUGUCUAACUUUAAGUCUAAGUCUCAUAUAUAUUAUAAAUAACUAAUAAUGAUACUUGAUAAUCUACAUUAAAUUAGAAUUAGAGAAAUAAAUAACUUUUAAUCUCCGCUUAUAAAAGAGAGUAUGUGGCCUACGUAGAAACAAACACGGGUUUCACAAACUCUUCAAACUUCUUUCAUUCCGAUCAUAAGCAGCAGAGCACAGCCAUGGAUUUACUCCUACCAUUGUUAAUAAUCCCGUUCACGUUGGUGCUGUGGGUUUUACUGUCUCCAAUUCGCACAAAAACGGCGCCGUAUCCACCGGGGCCAAAAGGCCUUCCGAUCAUAGGCAACAUCAACAUCAUGGAUCAGCUCACACACAGAGGCUUGGCCAAACUCGCCAAGAAAUACGGCGGCGUUUUGCACCUCCGCAUCGGCUUCCUCCACACGGUCGCCAUUUCAAAUGCGGAAGCGGCGCGUGAAGUGCUCCAAGCCCAAGACAACAUAUUCUCCAACCGCCCUGCCACCGCAGCCAUCAGGCACCUAACCUACGACCGCGCCGACAUGGCUUUCGCUCACUACGGACCCUUCUGGCGACAGAUGCGCAAAAUCUGUGUCAUCAAACUCUUCAGCCGCAAGCGCGCAGAGUCCUGGAACUCCGUCAGAGACGAAGUCGACACCGUCGUCCGCGCCGUCGCGGCGAACGUGGGCAACCCCGUUAACGUGGGGGAACUGGUGUUUAACCUCACGAAAAACAUCACCUACCGCGCCGCUUUCGGGUCCAGUUCCCAACAAGGACAGGAGAAGUUCAUUUCAAUUAUUCAGGAGUUUUCAGUGUUGUUUGGGGCCUUCAAUAUUGCGGACUUUGUGCCUUGUAUCGGGUGGAUUGAUCCUCAGGGCCUCAACUUGAGACUGGUGCAGGCACGCGCCGCCUUGGAUAGCUUCAUUGAUAAGAUAAUUGAGGAGCAUGUGGAGAAGAAGAGGAGUGGGAAGAGUUGUGAGGAUGAAAGUGACAUGGUUGAUGAGUUGCUGAACUUUUACAGUGAAAAUCCCAAAUUGAAUGAAGAAUCAAACGACCUACACACCUCCAUCACACUCACCAAAGACAACAUCAAAGCCAUAAUAAUGGUAUUGUACUUCUAUGCCCUUUUAAAUCAUCUCUUAUAUUUCUAUAUAAGAGAAAUAUAUAUAGAAAAGUUUUUAAAACUCUUUUUCUAAUAUUUCAUUUUUUACCCACGAAAAUAUUUUAUUUUUCAAUGGAGUGGAUAUUCGUCAACUUUUAAAUUCUGUAUUUAGUAGUACAGAAUGUUUUUUCUAUAAAUCAUGAUUUAUUAAUGAUUAAAAUGUUUUUUUGAAAAUACUUUUUAAAUCUUGUUACUUUUAAUUAUUUGUCAUAUUUAACUAUAUGAUACAAAAACGAUGGUAAAAUAUUAAGUCUUUUCUUUUUGUAAAAAAAAAAUUAGCGAAAAAUUAAGUUAAGAAAAAUCUUAAAAAAAUCUUUUCUGGAAAUAUAGUUUUUUAAAUAAUAAACUAAAGGAAAAAGUUUUGUUGAUACUCUUCCAAAAAAAUAACAUAUACUUGGCACACCGAUUUAAUAAUAUAAUAAUAUAUAUUAAAAUUUUAAGUUUAAAAAUAACACAAAUAUUAUUAAAAUAUUAUUAUUUAGAGUGUCGUGUAUGUUUUUUAUUUAAUGGUGUCAAUCUAUCAUCAUCCUAAAUUAAAUAUGAAAAAUAUCCAUUUUCUAUUUCAUAGUUUUGAAAUUUUAUAUUUUUUUUAGCAAAGGCUGCCUUGUACCCACAUACAGUUUUUUUAUGAUAAAAAAUAACUAUUUAAUAAGAUUUUUGUACAUAUUAUUGUACUUUACUGAUAAUUAGGGACCACCAAGUGUUUACUGUUCCUAAUUUUAACUUUCUGUCUAUAAUAAAAAAAAUCAAUAAAAUUUAAUGUUAUUUUAGGGUGUCACACUAGAUUAAACAGUCGAAAAGGUUUGGUUUUGAGUAAUUUAAAACAAUAAUUUUUUCUUUUUCUUUUUACAUAUUCUCUUAUUCAUUAAAACAAAACAAAAAAGUUAAUGCUAAAAAUGGUAAUUAUUAUGCAUGUAAGGAGUUGGAUUUUAGGAAGAAUUGAUAUCACGUUAGCAUGAGAGUGUGCAUGCAUAAUUUUCAAAAGAAUAAGGCGAAAGCAUAGAAGUUCGUUACUAUUUCACUUUCAAGUUUUCAACCAUAAAAAUCAAAAACAUAAAACACAUACACUCUACAAACUAAUAAAUUAUUAUUUUAAUUAUAUUUAUUUUAGUUUUUAAUUUAGAAUAUUAUUAUAAUUAUUUAUUAAAUGUGUGUUUUACUAUUUGGUUUCAAAAUAAACUUUUCCAAACCCAAACAAAUAACUGAUAACAAUUGCACAUGCAGGAUGUCAUGUUCGGAGGGACCGAAACGGUGGCAUCAGCAAUUGAAUGGACGAUGACGGAGCUAAUGAGAAGCCCAGAAGACCUGCGGCGCGUGCAGCAAGAACUCGCUGACGUGGCGGGUCUGGACCGGCGCGUGGAGGAAUCAGACAUUGAAAAGCUCGUCUUUCUGAAAUGUGUUCUGAAGGAGACGCUGCGGUUGCACCCGCCGAUUCCUCUUCUCCUCCACGAGGCGGCGGAGGACGCGGUGGUGUGUGGGUACCACGUGCCGAAGGGGUCGCGGCUGAUGAUAAACGCGUGGGCCAUAGGAAGGGACGGGGACUCGUGGGAGGAGCCGGAAGCGUUCAAGCCGUCGCGUUUUUUGAAGUCUAGCGUGCCCGAUUUCAAAGGGAGCAACUUCGAGUUCAUUCCGUUCGGGUCGGGUCGGAGAUCCUGCCCCGGAAUGCAACUGGGUCUUUACGCGCUGGAAGUGGCCGUGGCGCACUUGCUUCACUGCUUCACGUGGGAGUUACCCGAUGGGUUGAAACCCAGUGAGUUGGACACGAGUGACGUGUUCGGACUCACCGCGCCCAGGGCGAGUCGACUCGUGGCGAUUCCGUCGAAACGUGUGUUAUGUCCUCUCUAAUGUUUGGUUAUGCAAAGAAGAAAAAAAAUACCCCAAAUGUAAGAAUAACGGCUUCUAAUGGCCCUACUUUUCUGGAUUUCAACUACAUAUUUCGCAUUAAAAUUACUAUUCAAUUCAUUUCAAAAAGUUAUUAUCUCUAAAAUAUUUUUCAUCUACUUUUUCUCUAAGUUUUUUUGAGAGAUCCACUCACAUUAAUGUUACUUUAUUUAAAUAAAACCACGUCGUGAGAAAUAAUAAAUAAUAUAUAAAUACUUAUACUAUGAUUAAUCACACUAUUGUUAAAUUAUUUAAACUAAAUUUUUCUAUAAAUAAGUUUAAAGAAAACCUCUUUUUACCAUCUUGAAAAACCGGAACAAAAGGAAAUUAUCGUGCAAAAGUCUGGAAAAACAAAUUAGGAUUUUAUAAGACAAAGAUUACAAGAACACUAAAUAUACAAAUAAAAUAAAAUCGUAAGUUUAAAAUUAAUAUAUUAAAGGAGUUAUCAAUAUAACUUUUCUGUUAUAACAAUUAAUUAGAAAUGAGUUUAAAAGAUAUAGAACACCAACGUUAAAAGGAUUAUACCGUAUCUCAAAUAGAACUUAAUGUUAAGAUAUAUAUAUAUAUAUAUAUAUAUAUAUAAUAAAGUAAACUAAAUUAAUAUAUNNNNNNNNNNNNNNNNNNNNNNNNNNNNNNNNNNNNNNNNNNNNNNNNNNNNNNNNNNNNNNNNNNNNNNNNNNNNNNNNNNNNNNNNNNNNNNNNNNNNNNNNNNNNNNNNNNNNNNNNNNNNNNNNNNNNNNNNNNNNNNNNNNNNNNNNNNNNNNNNNNNNNNNNNNNNNNNNNNNNNNNNNNNNNNNNNNNNNNNNNNNNNNNNNNNNNNNNNNNNNNNNNNNNNNNNNNNNNNNNNNNNNNNNNNNNNNNNNNNNNNNNNNNNNNNNNNNNNNNNNNNNNNNNNNNNNNNNNNNNNNNNNNNNNNNNNNNNNNNNNNNNNNNNNNNNNNNNNNNNNNNNNNNNNNNNNNNNNNNNNNNNNNNNNNNNNNNNNNNNNNNNNNNNNNNNNNNNNNNNNNNNNNNNNNNNNNNNNNNNNNNNNNNNNNNNNNNNNNNNNNNNNNNNNNNNNNNNNNNNNNNNNNAAGGCAGUCAUAACACCGUUACCAUGUCUCCAUCCAUCUCAUUUUUUUUUAGUAUUUUAACUCUUUUAAUAACUAAAAUUUGUAAUACAAACUUGCACAUAAUAUUAAAAUACCCUAUUUAUUUCUUAAUAAAAACAGUAUAUUUAGAAAGAUAGAAAAUUUCAAACUUUAAAUUAAAUAUUAAAAUACAUUUUAUAUAAUUUUUAAUACACAGUGAAUCUGCUUGAAAGUCCCUUCAUAAUAUCACUGUUAGUUUUUUUUUUCUAUCAUGUUAUAAAUUAGUCUCAUUGGUGAUAUAUUAUGUUUAUUGAUAGUUUUCUAUUUUUAUAUUUGGCAGAAAUUAAAUAUAAUAUUUCUAUCAAAUAAAUCAUCCGUGUGAAUAGUUAGUGUUUAAUUAUUAUGCUAAUCCAUCGAAUUUGUUUUUUAAUACAUAUUUACGGUAAAAGUUGAAGUAUUUACUUUUGGUAUCAAUUAUUUGUACUUGAACGUAAAAGAUAUUUUACAUCUAAAUUUAUUUUUCAAGAACUUUUAUUAAAUAAAUUUACAAGUAAAAAUAAGUGAGAACUGGAAAAUAAAGUAAAAGGAAAAUGAAAGAAAAAACAAUACAAAUCACCUUUUUUUCAAACAACACAAAGAUGGUGUGUAGAAACGUUUACCAUAGAAUCUAAUAACACAGAAAACCUUCCAUAUCUAGAUCUACUGAAAAUAUUUACCAUCACCACAUAAGUUAAGAUUUUUUUUUAUUAAUACCAAUUUAAUAUAAUUGAACAAUCGAAAUCCUUAAAUCAAUGGUUUAAAACUCAAAGUUAAAGUUAAUUCUAUUGACAGGUAUGAGCAAUUUACCACUAUCUGAUAAUAUUUUUCCCUUUUUCUUCCUUCGUGUUAAGUGAAAACACAUUGUGCUUAUAGCAUUAUGUAUAUAUAUAAUACAACUAUGACUGAAAGUCGAUUGUACAACAAUGUCGUGAAAUUCAAAAGCAAAUUAGAGCAUCUCCUUACAAGAGUUAUUUAUGAAUUGAACAUUAUUUCAAUCUAAGUUUUAUACAUUUAAGUUCAAUUUAAGUAAUCUAAAUACGUGGAACCUAGAAUAAUAAAAUAAUAUUUUUAUUCACAAACAACUUUGAAGAUGCUAUAAAAAUAUGCAUUUAAAUUCUUCCGCUUACGCAUUAUAAUAUCCAAGAUGCUUGUGUUUGUAUUCAUACCAUAUGGCAAAUAAAUAAACAGAAAGAAUAUGGAAUGGGGCUUAAAAAACAGGCCCAAUUCGUGCCUACUUGGAGCUUCUUCCUUUCUGCUCCACUAGUGUACGGACCAAAGCAAAAUAAAGGAAAAAGAAAAGGUUGAACUAGUAUUGUAAUGCAAUUGUUUCUCUGAGAGAAGACAGAUCUUCAAAGCAGCUAGGUACCCUAGAUUCUUUUCCACCUCAUUUUUUAAGCUAAUUGGAAUACAAUCAAUUUACAUCAAAAUACGUAACACAGCAAGACCAACAGCAGAGAUCGAAACCAGUGUUCCUAUGCAGUAUUUUAUGACAUCAUAUUUGGCUGCUUCCAGCUGUGCUCUUAAAGAAUGGAUCUCCUGCAUAUGAAUAAGAGCAAAGGGUUUCAGAAUGUAAAUUACUAAAUUGGCAACUUCUAAAUGUCACAUAAUUGCUUACUCUGUCAAGUUUGUUUGUCAAGUUGUUAGUUUCAGCAUUCUGAUUAGACAAUUCAUCCCUUAUUCUCCUGCAUUUUUAGCGACUCAUCAGCACUAACAGAUGAAAAUGGGAAUUUCAGUCUAACAAAAGUUCUGUAAUCUAUGACAAUCAACAGUUUAUUCUCAACUCUUACCCCCUUUCAAGGUUCAAAUCUAAUCGCUGCCCAGCAGUGACUUUAUCAAUCUCAUAUCUGCAUCGCAAAUCAUGUUAUUUUACCAUAAAAUCGUAACAAAACAAAAGACGACUAUAGUUUGAUCAAGGCCAGUUGCUAAAAUUGAUAAAAACAUACGUCAACUGAUUACGCAUCUUCUCUAUAUCAUUCCUAAGCUUCUCAGUCUCAUGUUGUAAGAGAGAGAAAUGGUGUCCCUGAAUUACAAGUUUUUCAGCACAUUACAACAUCGUCAAACAAAACCAACAUCAUCAGCAUCAGUAUAACAUUCAUUUUGAGGUAAAUAAGAUUACAAGGAUGAAGAAAUGUGAAAUAAAGACAAAGAAAAACGGUUCCUAACUUCCUAAUAUAAAAUGAAUGCACUCCCAGCAUAAAUGUUUCAACAAAAUGCAACAGAAACAAUCAUAAAUGCUUAGCAUGUAAUUUGCCAGCACAUGAAUUAUGAUCCAACCAUUUGAAUUACUCCCCUAAAAAACAUAUAAGUACCACGAAUUUACGGGGCAUGAGUUCGACCUUUCCAUUUGGAAAAAAAAAACAAGUGCCAUAAGGUUUUUCGUUUUCACUUUCAAUCACAAAAAUGCCACAUUUCCAAUUAGUAAAUAAUGUUUUCAUUGUUUCCUAUCCUCUACACAAAUAUUUGGAAACAAGAAACAAAAUUAAAAUAACAUAGAUAUUUUGUAAUUAAAGUGAAAACAAAGAACAAAAAACUAAAAAGAUGAUAUUUUCUCAACCAAACAUUUUAGAAAUUAAUCUUAUGUUUUGUUUUCCCAUUAUUAAAUGAGAUAAACCUGGAGGAGGAUGACAAUCGUUAUCCUAUCAUUGUUGUCAAAUUCUCAUGUGAACUCAAACUCUUACAAAUUUAUGAUUCAAAGUAGAAAAAUGAAUUAAAUCGCCAUCAAACUAAUUUGGAUAAAUCCAUAUAAAAACUCAAAUACUUUAAUCAAGAAACAAGUCUAUUAUUUCAAAAUCAAAUGAAUUUUUGCACGAUAUUGACUCCAAAGUGACUGUUCUAUACAGCUCAAGCAUUGUUUUUUAAGCCAACAUAAAUAUAACAUUUUCUAAGGGCUCAAAUGAUUUGAAGAAAUUAACUCUUUUCAAAUGUUUUUACUUAAAGAACUUAUGUUUUUAUGAAUCUAUAGAUUAUGUGAUUAUUUAUGUAGUUUGAUAUUAUGUAGUAAUAAUUACUAUCACAUACUACUGUGAGUCGGUACUUCGCUUUAUUAUGGAAUUGAAAUUUUGAAUCAUUGCAUUGUGUCAUUAAUAGAAUUUUUAUAUUAUCUUUCAACCAUAUAAGUCAAGUCUUUAGAAUCUUUACCAGUUUAAAUAUACUCUCAAGUUCGAUAACCUUGCUUCCUACCACUGCGAGAAACACAUGAAUAAUUUCAAGAAAACAUAGAGCCCAUUUAAUUUAAAGAUUUUCAAAUAUAUAGGUUAACCGGACAAAAGGAUUUAACAAGUUUAUCUUAACCAAAAAACACUACAAAACGGACAUCUAAAUAUCAUAAAUAACCAUUUAAUAAACAAUAGAUACUUAGUAUAUCAUCUUUCUUUUCUGUUUCUAAAUUAAAAUUUGUGCUUACUUUCAUCCUUAGCAUUUUAUAACAGUAUUCAACAAACACCGUAUGUUAGCAAGCUUCCCCACAGAGGUUUGAACAUGUCAUUGACUAUCUUAUGCAGCAAAGUUAAUAACUAAAAUAAAUAUAACAUCAUCAUGAAAUGUGACAACAUACUACCAGAUCAUAAGUUUCUAUUAAAUCCCAAAAUUGAAGUGCUUCUAGAAAUCCAACAACUCAUUGAUCAUGACCACACCAAUUAAAAGAGGGACUAAGAAAGUACAUUAUGCUAUGGAUGCUAGACGCAACUGAGAAGAUCAUCUACAAAGAAAAAUUGAGGAAAGAAGAAGAAAAGAAAAGAAAGUGAAGUGUCGGCCUCAAGAGAGAAGCAUAGUGAAGAAAGUACGUGAGCAACUUAAUCUUAUAUCUUCAUUCUAAUUACUUUCAGCUUCAGAGAACAUGAUCAAACAAUGCCAUACGCAUGUUUUAUUGCUGCAUUAGAACAAAGACAACAAUGGCCACUUCUCAUUCCUAAUAAUGGAGAAGCAGGAUGCACAUAUUCACCAAGACAUUUUGGAGGAUCCAGGCUCAACGUUUUAUCAGUAAGUAAAUGUAAAAGGUACUUUUCAUCCGGAGUUAUUAUAAUCCACGGAAGUCAAAUUUAUGGCAGUAAAACAGGAUGCUGGCAAUGAAUAUAAGCACUAUACCAAAUACAUUCUUCAACCCUACCACCUUAACUACCGGUAGAACCAGGGCAUAAGACCACAUGCACCAAAAUCAUAACCCUCAAAGUUUACAAAACAUCAACAUAUUUAAGAAAUACCUGUAAGCUCUGCACCUCUGCUUUAAACUUGGACAGAUUGGAUUCUUGCAUCAUCUCAGUCUUCAAAAGAAAAUUGACCGAAACAGCUUAUAUUAGUACCAAUUGUACCGUUAUGAAAUUUAUAAAACUGACAAGGGACAAUGUGAAGGCGGAUUUUAAAUCCACAAAACAAGGAUUAUAGUUGGCACUAAGGGGUCUUACUUUCUGCAUUUCUCCUUUAGAUACUAACGACUGAGACACAUUUUCGAGACUGUCAUUCAAAACUUCGGUUAUGGCAGCGGUUAUUGCCUCAGCUUGUUUCGAGGGUACUCCUUCCCCCUCUAGUCUUCUAACCUAUACGCCAAAAAAAAAUAAAAAAAUUAAGCAAACAAAUCAAGCCAAUAAAUUGAAGCAAACAAUUUGCAACAUGGCAAUUCACUAACCCUUGUUCGGAAUUGCAAAUAAAAGUGAAUUCCAAACAAGGGAAACAAAUGAGAGGGAAAAUGUAAAUUAUUACAAGGGCUAAGGUGUCAACGAGAAACAAGUGUUUUCCGUUAGAUUUCACCAAUUGAGAAAAAUGUCUUGUCCCCGAAACAGGAAAUGGAUGGAAUAUUGCUCUUUCGAACGACGACGACGACGAGACUUGGGAUUUGAAACCCCCAAAAGCUCCGAUCCCAGAUAACUGCCAUACCCGCUUACGAACCGCGGCCAUUUCUGAUUCCACGAACAAACCCCAAAAGUCGCACAACAAUUUUCAGCCUUCGCAGCAAGUAAUCUACAAAUCGAACAAAGCACAGAUUUAUAUCGCACGAAGAGAGCACAUAAGUUUGUAAAAAAAUCACGUUUCUUAUUUCUCUCUCUUUAAUCCUUGUUUUUUCAGUAAUGGGAAUGAAAGGGUGUGAAAGAAUGUUAAAAGAAAAGGAAAAGGUAAAGAUUGAUCGGCCUGGGGAAGUGUGAAAUGGACGGUUACCUCAAGCAAUGACCAAUGGGAGGAGGAGAAUGAGAGAGAAGCUGCUCCACCUCGUUAAUCAGUGUUGUUGCAGUGAUGAGUCAUCAAAUCGAAGACACGAAUACUAAUGGUGCUCGUCAACAAAAGGAGUUGCUUUGCUACUAUCAAAGGCAAGCAAAAAACGGAACGAAUCUCUUGGGGGUUCACCACACCAUCCCUUUCCCUUUCUUCAACUGCAGACACUGAACGCGUUACGACAAUCACAAUUUCAACUUAUUUUCUAAUACGGAUUUUGAUUUAUCGGUUUCUCAAAAAUAAAAAUUUGGUUGAAAUUUCAUAUUUAGAGUUUAAUGUAUUGAUUUUAAGAUCAUUUUCUUAAUCUUUAAUACUCUAGUUAAUUGCACAUGCACCAAAAAUAAAAUGAACCACGUUAUCAGUUAAUUUUAUACCUUAAUUUUGAUUUGUCUAUAAAACCUUACGUCGUAGCUGUAUAUAAAAAAUAAUACAAGGGACUUUUAUCAUUAGGGAAUUUUAUUUAGGGAAGCUGCUAUCAGAAACACCUUUCAGAAAACUACAGAAAGCUGUUGUUUUUCAUUAUUUUAUUGUAUAAUAAUGACAACAAAAUUUAAGUUUACUACUAUACAAACUUUUUAAACUCUGUUAAGCCAAUCCUAAUGGGUUGCUUUUGUUAUCCAUUAUUAAAUCCUAUUUUGCACCUUUUAAUUUUAAUUGAAAUUUGUUUUGAGACCCAUGCACUUCGUGCUGUUUUCUAUAGUAACAAACAGGUAAUAUUAUUAGGUCCAGAAUGCGAUGAAGAAUAAGAUUAAAUGGCAAGAAACCAACAUCCAAGUUAAAAUAUACCCAAUUUCUUUAUAAAAAAAAGUAACAUAAAUAGAACUUUUUACAUUUGAAACUAAAAAAAGUAAUACAUCCUUAUAGUAAUGCUAAUACAGAAAUAAAUUUCAUGCAUAACUUCUGAAUAAUGUCAAACUUUUAAGUGUAUGCAAGAAAAGCACCCUCAUGAAAGGUUCACUGUAUGCAAGAAAUGUUGUUAUAUACAGGAUAAUAUGUAUCCAAUUGAAGUUGGUCUAAGAUCCUUGGGGUAGCCCACAGAUAAGACGAAUGGCCUUCAAUGUGAUCUGUCACAUCCACCUGCAAACCAAGAACAGACGCACAUUCUCUUAAAACAUAAAUAUUCAUAACUUAUGAAUGCAACUUAGAAAACUAGUUCUGUAUGUCAGCAAAGAGGAUGAAGAAGCAUCUUACAUUUUGGAUCCCAGGAAUAUCGACAGGUUGGAUUCCAGCUAAUCCUUUCGUAAGUAGACUGCUCAAAUUUAAAAAAAUAUAAUGCUAAAUAAUUAUUUUUUAUUUGUGUCUAUUAAAAUCAAUUCUUCUAAAUUAAAUUGUUUUACAUGUUCCUAAAAGAAUGGCAAAUAAUCACUAACACUGCGAACUACACAGGUCAGCUACACAUAAUAAGUAGAAAAUUUCUCGUGAUAUGGCUGAAAGUAACACCUCAUCUCCAAAAGCAAUUGUCCCAUAUGCACCUAUUGUUCAAGUUGUGUCACCUAUUCAUUUCCUAUAUGAUACUUAAGUCAUAGUUAUCAAUGAAAUAUCUAUUCCAUACAACUAAAAAUAAUUUAUAAUUUUUUAUUUAGACAAUCUAACAAAUAUAAUUUUAAUUUGGAUCCGCACAAUUACAAUUAUAUAUUUAUUAUGUUUUAAGAAUUUUUACACAUUUUUAAAUAUAUAUUUAUCUCGCACCAUAUCCUCUUAUGUUCAAAAUAAGCAUAUCACUACAUCAUAGGCAAUGAGUCUACUACCACACACAAAAAGGUUUAUGCCUUGUUUGGAUUAGGAAGUGGGUUUGAGGGAGUAGAUUUGAGAUGAUUCGAAGGAAAUGUGUGAAGAAAAUGAGAUUGUUUGGAUUAAGGUAAAUAAAAUAGAAAGUGUAGAAAAAGUUUAUGAAAAUUUGUGAGUGAUGGGAUGCAUCUGAUUGAAAUUAUAUUUUUCUAAUUGAUAAAAUUAUAAAUUUACAAAUUUACUUUUAUAUUUAAAAAUUAUUAAAAAAUUAAUUGGAUUGAUUUAUUUAUAAAUUAAAUAACUUUAUUAUUUUUAUCUUUAUCUUUUAUAAUUAAUAUAAUUAUUAUAUAAAUAUAUUUUUUUAUUUAAAUAUAUUUAUUAUUAUUAUUAUUGUUUAUAUUUAUACUUAUAAAUAAUUAAUUAUGUUAUUUUAUAAUAAAUAUUUUUUUACAGUUUUAAUUAUAUUUUUAUAUUUGAAUUAUAAUCUUAUUUUAAAUAAAAAUAAUAAUUUUAGUUUAAAAUAAAUAAAAAAACUAACCUAAGCUAUAAAGCAACUUUUGUGGCAAUUCUUUCUUACCACAGAAAGUUUUAAGCAGACAACCUUUUUUUUUUCGUGUUUUAUUUAAUAUCUUGUUUUUCAUGUUUUACUCUCAAACAAUAAAUCUUCUCCUUUCCGCUCCCAAAAACAAACGGAGCCUUAAUGUGAAGAUGACGACAAUCCACAAAAAGACAUACUUGAAGAGGCAUCAAUGAAUACUUACCAACUUCCACUUCAGGUAUAAACAUACAGACCAAAACAUUGGACGAUGGGCUAUGUAGUGUGAAACUUCUUCUCACGUACAAAAAGUUAUGCAAUUUCAUGAUAUUGGUUUCUUUUAUCAAGUUAAUAGGUAUCACGGCCAACUUGAAAUACAUAACUUUGCAUACAUUUAACAAUUAUAUCUCAAGAUACCUGGCACGGAAGGCAAGUCCAAGCAUCCAGUCAUUCCUCGAAUAAGCAUUUACAAAUCUUCCUGCUACCAUCUAUAGAAUACCGUGAUGUUAGAAAAGAUUUAUUCUCAUUAUACGGAUGAGAAAGUUGUACUAAGAAAAUUAAAUGCCCCACAAACCUUUCGAGCUGCUUCCCAGUUCUCGUCCUUGAUUGGGAUGGGUGCUCCAAGAAGUACAACUCUUUCUACUAGUUCAGCUGCCAAUAAAUAAAAGUGACAAGGUAACUUCAUUCAAUGAAUAAAGAUGGCUAGAGUAUACCAAGGACGUAACAUUAUAUGCAUCCGUCACUAGAAUCAAUAAAUGAAUAAAAGAACAGGAAAUGAUCUCAUGUGUAGUAAAAUAAUCUAAACACAUCAAGGAUGAACAAAGGAAAGGGAGGAAAUACCUACCACUGUUUUCAGUUUUAGCCAAACACUGUAAGCACUUAAAAAUAACCCUCGCCCCUAGUGAGUAACCUAUAAGUGUCACGGGCCUGAAAUUCAAACAUCGAUAAGAAUACAUCCAUCUACAAUUUUCUUGGAGCGGGAGUAAAAGUAACUCUGGAAUUCGUCAAAUACCUAUUUCCCUGCAGUCCUUUUAACAAUACUUCAGCAAGCAACUUACCAGCUUUGUUUGAUCUGAAAAUCAAGACUAACUCAGCAUGUAGAUCCAAAAGUAAUCAAAGAAAGGAAACUGAUCAUGACAAAUUUUUCAUUGAGAUUGUGAAGCCAUCACAUUAACAAAACCUUUUAUCAAGAAAAAAAAAGCACUAGAUACUCCUUGACAUGCCAAAUCAAAACCACCUUGACAUCAGCUUUCAGCUUUGCAUAUUAAUGAUCAAUUAAAUUGACACUUUAAAAAUACAAGUUAAAACAUAAUGAAACUAAACUUGAACAUGAUGAUCAAACAACAAUUCAAUCCUCAAAUAAUAAUUUUCUAAUAUCUUUAGUGGUGAAAAAAGUGAGGGGCAACUUUAAAUUCCUCAGAAAUUUAAGUUAGUCCCAGGCAGCCGUCAGAUACCAGGACCCAGUUAUUCAACAGAUUAACUCACUAAUACCACAAUCCAACAAAAACAGUUGAAACCUUGAACUGAAAAUUAGAACACUGAUAUUAAAUGUGAUAUGUUGUUUAAAAAAUUCACCUUAUCCAUAUAUUUAUAACAACACUCUAGGAUCAGUAACUUUAAUAGUCCAAAUAGUACAAACAUAGCCAAAACAAUAAGAAUCAUAAUUCCUGAUAUUUUAACCAUUUAGCAAAUUGAAUUGCAUUCAUGAUAUUCAGUAACAAAAGAAACAGGAAGAAGCUUCUUCUCCCCGCUACCAAGCAAUGUUGUAUUCUAGACAGAAUCGGGAAACAAAAUACACCUGCUUAUAGCAAUUGUCCAUUUACUGUCUAUAAAAUCGGUUGCUGCAAGUAAUGCAGCUGGCCAAGCCAAAGCAGUUAAGAGUGAACUCAAAACAGUCAUCAUAGCCCCUCGUUUCAUCAGCUCCAUCGCAAGUCCUGAUGCAAGUCACAGCAAUAUAAACAUCAUUCAAAGAGGUACUUAUGUAAUAAUAACAGUUUUAUUAGAAUCCUAAAUCCCAAACUCACUUGAAGUAAGCCAAUCUUGAAUUGCAGUGCUCACAGCAAUCAGAUUCUUGGACUCCCACUGCAGCGCAUACCUAACUUUAGGCAACAUAACAAGAAAGGUCAUUUCUGUUGGCAAGGAUGGUCACUGUCAAUCAUAAGAAUAAUAACACUACAGUUUCAAGAUAAACUAAACUAAAAAUACAAGCUGAUUUCAAUAGAACAGUGUAAUUUUCUAUCAACAUCAAGCUUUCUAAGGUGUCCUUGACCAUUGAAGGGCAAUAUUCACUAUUGUACCUCUCCAAGUUGUCAUUACAUCCUUCCCAAGGCCUUAUAAAAUCUUCCUUCUCAAAGACAAAUCCAGAGACUAAGAUCUCAACCCCUAGCCUCUGCAAGCAGAAGUUCAACAAGAAACUAAUUUAAAAAAAUAACCAGGUACAGAUGUAUUGUUUGAUAUAUAAGAAAGGUGGGACAAAGUUCAUACAAAUGCACACAGAAACAUAGUUACAGAAACAUAGUUCAUAACUCAAUUUAAGCAAGUGAAGUCACAAGAAAACAGGAACAUGAAAGAUAUAAAAACCUACGCCUUGGUUAUGGUUUUCUCCAAUAGCCUUGAAUUCAAACUCAUCAACUCCCCCAACUCUCCUAGCCAUUUUGCUUCCAGUAAGUCCAGCUCCUGCAGCUGGAAGAAGUAGAACAAAGAGAUACAUAAAAAAUUUCAUUGUUUAAAAAAGGAAUUUGACUGAUACAAAAAAGUAUAAAGAACUGCAAGAUCAAUGAAUCAAUUGCCCUACACAUUGACACUUUCAUCACAAUAAUAAUAAUAUUAUUAUUUGUUAACAGAUAAGGAACCAGCGUUGUGUACUUUGAAGAAAUCAAAUGUACUGUCAUCACAAAACAGGAUAUAUCAGAUAUUAUAUGGGCCUGCAUCACUCCUCCAGUUAGUUACAAUCUAAAGUAAACACAAACUCUCAUGUAAAAUUUGUAUUUAUGGCAAUCUAAGAGGAAGUUAUCUUAUUUAAGCAGAUAGUGUAAGCAUGUAAAUGGAUAAUUACAACAACAAAAAGCCUUAAACUACAAACUAAACUUUAAAAAAAAUGAGAGAAAGGAUGCCAUAGAAACGGGAUAUGAUCGAAUUCUAGGAAAUCUAAUCACAUUAUAGGCAAAUAUAAACCUCCAAAUGAUGCAGCAACAGCAACAGAACCAGCAACUGUUCCUGCAGCACUAGCGGCUGCAGCAAAUCCACUUGCUCCAAUUACAGGGAUCAGAGUACCCAAUGUUGGAGCCAAAGCACCUAGACCUGCUGCAAUGGCUGGUGCAGCUAACCCUGUUGAAUGAAAACAAACAUAUUUUCUAAAAAGCUAAUUCAUGUGGAAAUUCUAUAUUCCAUAAUACAGUUACAAAAGAUAACAUGGUCUGCAUACCACCAGUAAUAGCCAACAAAGUUCCACCAGUUAUUGCUGCAGCACCAAUUAUACCACCCCGCUUCAAUUUAGCCCACUUGCUUUCUUUUGGUUGAGUUUCUUCUUUCUUUGAUUCUUGUGCCUUAAUAAAAGCCAUCGCAGAACAAGCAGCCAUGGUCUCAAUGGCCUCCUACAAAAACCAAUACUCGUCUUAAUCAUUAAAGAUACAGGACCAGUGAAUAUGAGAGAUUCAAAUAACUGACAAUACAACGCAAUUUUAUAACAUACAAACAUUUACAAUCACAUUCAACUUGAAUUCCAGUAGCUUAGAAAUCAAGGCAAACAUAUAGGCAAUGUUCACCACAAUCCAGCAUACAAAGUCAGAAGCCAAGGCACUCAUCUAACGAUUCCCAACAUAAGACAAGUUAUUUACCAAUCAGGCAAUCAUAUAAAGUUCCAUUCUAAAAAUUUCAUCAAACAAACCAUUUUCAUCCACUUGACAUCAAGCCAUGUUGCGAGCAACCGCAGAGCCACACGAUGUCGAGCAUCAUAGCCCUUCCUUCUCUGCCCGAUAUCUUCACCUAAAUUUGACAAACAAGCAGACAGUAGUUCAUACAGAACUGUCACCUUCCUCUGAUCACUCAGCAUCAUUACUUCCUCAUUUGGUCUAUCAUCAAUCUUCCAACUAACAGACCCAUGCUGUGGCUCUUCAGAGUCAACUAUAGGAGCAAUAUCCAUUACCUUCUGAACUUCGAAAUGAUCAUCUACCUUUUCAUCAAGAGGCUGAACCUCACCAAUUGAGAACUUCUCACGACAUUGAUUCUCAUAUUCGCGAAGCAUCUCCCUUUUAGACUCGGAAGACUCCAAGUUUUGCUGCAUUUCAUGUGUGAUACCAUCAACUGCACUUGACAAAGCAAGUUCUUGAUCUAACGUUUGAGAAGAACCAUCGUCCAAUUCUUGUGAAAGUAACCUCAAGAACUGUAACAUUCAAAUGCAUAUUAUUUUCUAUUAGCAAUAUAUCAAAAUGAAAAAAAAUGCCAGUUACACGCUGUCUAACAAACGAUUUCCACCACAAGUUCUACUGUUAAUUGAAACUCUUUAGAAAUCAACAGAAUCACUAAUGCGUAAUUUCCUUACGAAUGAGAACGAACAAGUAGUGAAACGUACCGGUCCCACGUGAUGCGUAGCGGAAGAAGAACCAGCGGUUUCCUCUAGUCCAAGCCACGCAGCGGAAUCAAUUUCAAGAAACCUGUUCAAAUUCGGAUUCAUAUUCAGAGAUUCAAAAUAACUAUCAGGAUUUUCCCUGAAUUAGAAUUAACACGUACUUAAAAACGGGGCGGAGCAAACCCGAAUUGUUGUGGACCCAAAGAUCCGGGUCCUCGGAGACCGAGUCGCUGCUGGAGCUACUACUGGUUCGCUGCUCGGAUUCCUCCGUAACGGGUAACGGCAACGGGUUGGUUUGAUUGAGUUGAGCCUCGUGCAGUGCCAGGCCAAACAAUGCGCCGGCAGCGUACCUCUGCGUCGGCGACAAAAGCGACGGCGCCGUCGUCGUGGGUUCCGCCAUGUGCGGUGCGAUGAUUGCGAAGAUGAAGUAUCGUUUUCUUCUUAGGAAGGGUUAUCUGAGAGAGAAAGAGGAAUCGACGUCGUUUGGAGGUGAAGGGAAAUGAAAAUGGGGAACAUGUGUGUGCGCUUCAAGGAAAGACGAAACCAAAGAGGUUUAAUAUGUUUGCAUUUUUAACUUCGUCGUGUGGGGUGACGUGGCGCACCGGACCUUUUCAGAAUCUGAACUAUGUAUCAAUGCCGGAUAAAUAUAGUGUUUUUUUUUAUAAUUUAAUAAUUCAAUAUUAUUAAAAAAAAAGUAAAAAAAAAACUCGAGCACACAAAAAAAAAAAGGUCAACCUUGUGUAUAUCGAUAUAAUUUCUUACUUUUUAAAUAGGUGAAAUUUGAUAAAAAAAAAUAUAAAUAGAGAUAUUCAGUUAAUUCAGUUUUUAAUAUGGAUUAUAUUGAAUAUUCUGAAAAUAUUUUUUUAUUCUUAAUGGGUUUAUUAAACUCUUGUAAAAUUACUUCUCAUAAACAACUAUUGGUGACCCUCUGAAAAAACAAUAAUUAGAGACUCGGAAGAAAAAAAAAGUGUAUAUAAAGAUGUAACAUCUUUUUACAAAGUGAAAUCAUGUUAAAAUUCAAUUUUAUAACUAUGAUAUACAUUAUGCCAUGGAAUAUAGAUAUGGAAAAUAUCACAUAUUUUAUCAUUUAUCUUACAUCAUACUUGAAUGAAUCAUUGGUUAUUUAGAUUUAGACUUGCUUUACCAUUAAUAGUUGAAUAAUUAUGCCUCGUAUAUAUAUGAGGUAUAUUGACUAAAGGAUGAAGUGUAGGUAGUAUAAGUAUCAUCUUGUAAGCAUAUAAAGAAAUAUAUUCAAAAAAAAUACUAGAAAUUUAUAAUUAAUUCUUUUAACUGGAUUAAACAAACAUACACAAAAGAAGAUAACAAAAUCAUUUAAAUAAAAUCUAUAUAAAAUGCUAUGAUUCUUAUAUAAUAAAUGUAAUACUUGAUAUAAUGCACACAUUAGACAAAAGAUAUGUACACAUAUAUAAAUUGUAACAUAAUAUUUUAAUUUUACCCAAGAAAGUGCUUUUAAAACAUGAUCUUUAUAUAAUAGAUACUUUUAAAAAAAAUAAUUAAAUAUGUAUAUCUUCAUAGUCCAAAAAAGGAGAGGUUUAUAUGAAAAAUCUAUAUAUGCCUAAUAAUGCCUUCAAAAUAUUCAUUGACAUUUAUUCAUGUAUUAAAUUCUAUCAUAACAAACCAAAUAAUCAUUGACUUUUUAACAUUAAAUCUGUAUACAACUAAAUAUGGUGAACACAAUUUGACACAAGACAAAAAAAAAAAACUUAUAAAAUUCAUAUUAUAGUAUGAUAUAUUAGAAAACUAACACCUUAUUCAAUCAAACACUUUGAUCUCUAAAUAGAUAAAAAAAAAUCAAAGAUCAAUGUAAGUUCAUUACAAUUGAUAAUUGUAUAUCUACAAAUAUUUUAUGUUUGUAAUAAUUUUUCCUCAACUUCUUAACAUAUGAUGUCUUAAAUUAUAUAAUUUAGAUAAUUAGUGAGUAAGGAGAUUUUUUGUUAUAUUGAAAGUUUUAUUACUUAAUAAUCACAAAUACGAUCAAGAUCAACACGUCAUCCAUGCAUAUGCGACUUAACCAAUCUAAUUCUAACAUAAUAAUAUCAUAUAUAAAUAAAAAUAUAAUAUUUGAAACCAUUUAUAAUAAUUAUAACACAUGAAACUACUUCCACACAUAUAAAAUCAUAACAAAGUUCAUUAGUUGAGUGAUUUACACUUAAGAGAUAUAAAAUCAUAACAAAGUUCAUUAGUUGAGUGAUUUACUCUUAAAAUAAUUCUUAGCUCACUAAUUUAUUUUAGCUAGACGAAUUUUAUUUUAUUUGGCUUACUCACCUAAAUUCAUUGAGAAAAUGGUUAUUAGUUGGACGAAUUUAGUUUAAAACAUACCUUAACUUUAUGACUGAGAUUUUAUCUCUAAACAAAUUAUACAAACCAACCGUUUUACAAAAUUUACUAAAAUUAAUUUCAAAUCCAAAUUAACGCAUUCACAUAAUUCUAAUAAAUAUCGAUUAAUACAUAUAAAGUAUAAAUUUCAUGUAAUGACUAGUAUUAUUCAAACGAGGUAAUACAACCUAAAUUCAAGUGAAAAAUCAACAAUUCCAGAUAAAAGAUAAUUUAAUCCAAUCAUAUUCCAUUUAAAUAAUUAUUUCUAACUACGUAGUAACAAGUCUUAAACUUCAAUACUAAUAUGUUUUUCAAUCCAAAUUUUAUAUAUUUCAACUUAAUAUGGCUACCUAAAACAUAAGUAUCCAUUUAAAAUCAAACCUUCAAGUUUAACAAUAAUAACAAUAUAUAUAGCAAAUAAAUGGGAAGAUAUAAUUUUUUUAUUUUUAUUUUGUUUAAAAUUAAAUUAAAUUAUCGUGUCCUCAUCUUUUAUCAUCUAAAAGAGAUAAGAGUUAAAGUUAAAAUUUAAGACUAAAAACGAUUACUUUAUGGAAAAUAAAGAAAGAAAAGAGAGAAAAUAGUAGAAAAAAAUGAGACUUUUAACUUAUAGAUCCAACCAUAGUUGUGAGUUAUGAAAAAGAUUAGCCCAAGUAACUAUUGUAUUGAUUUAGAAGAGAAAACCAUUUUAUUCAAUUAUUUCGAUUUUCUUAAAUGAUAAUUCAUUCAAUUGGUUUAAGUAAAAAAAUUAUAUAAUUUAAAUUGGUUUUAUUGAAAUUCAUUUUUAUUUUUAUUUAUUCUUACUUUUUAAACAUCAAGAUGCAUAAUCUAUAACAAAUAUAUAUAAAAGGGAUUUUUUUUACAUAUUUCAUUUUCUAAUUUUAUCCUUUAUAAUAUUAAAAUAUAAUAAAUUCAAUAAUUAUUUAUUUUAAAUUAAAAAAUUUAGAAAAAAUGAAUUUGAAAAUAAAACAAAGAAUCCAAUUUCAAUUUUACUUUUUAAAUAACUACUUUUUUUUAAAAUUCAAAUAAUUCUUCCUAAUCAACUACACAAUAACAAAAUUACAUACAACAAACUUAAAAAAUUAUUUUUCUAUAAUUAUUUUUAAUAAAAAUAUUUUGUAUAAUUUAAUAGUAAAAAUAGUCUAGAUUUCAUUUACACGUCAUUACAUAAUUAGUAAUAGUAUACAGUUUUAAAUAUACACUGCAUCAAUGUUUUUUUAUACAAACAUAUAAUUAUAUGCAUGCAUUACUCAAAUAAUUAAUAAAUUGUUUAAAUUAAAUAGAUUCUUAUAGAAAGCCAUAAGUUACAUGAUGACGAUGCAAAGAUAAUGUAAUAAAUAAAAAUAUAAACACAAGUAAUUUUAAAAAUUACUUAAACGUUUUUAGUUAGGAGUGAGUUUUGAUUUUGGUUUCUUAAUUUUUAUUUAUUUUUACUGUUUAAAAUUGCAGUAAGAGUGUAAUGAAAAAUGAAGUUAGUGUGUUGUUAUUGUCAUUUUUCUUUUAAUAAUGUUUCUUUUGACACUUUUUUUUUUAAUUUUUAUUUUACAAUUUUUUUAAUAAUAAAAUAAAUAAUUUUUUAAAAGAAAAUAAUAAUAUUAUUGGUGGUGAAGUUAAGAGUUUCUUUUUCACAGUUGUUGUUACUGUUAUUGAUUUUCAUAAAAUUGUGUGGAACAGGGUUUUGGUCUUCUCCUAAUUCUCCCCUCUCUCUUCUCGUUCCCAUUGCUAUCCGUUGCCCCUUUCAUUUUCUUACACCUUUCAGUGGUAACGAGCGUAUCAACUUCUUCUUUCGAUUCAAUUGUAUGUAAUAUGCAAUAGUUUUUUGUUGUUUUCUCAUUAACUUAAUCCCUCUGUUCUGGAAUACUAUUUGAUGAUGCUUAUUUCUUUUUUUGAACGGUUCUUACAACGUUCUAGUCUGUGCCCAAUUGCGCCGGUAUUAAAGUUCAAUUUUUUCUGUCUCUCCUUACAGUCCCUGAGGUGGCUGCACCUAUUUUUAUGAUUGUUCUUUUUGUUAUAAUGAACUCCAGUUGUAGUGGCAUGAAGGUUUUAAAUUGAGCUUGAAAUUGCGGAAAACUGAUGGUAAAUGAUUAAAUGUGGCCGGAGUUGCGAUUGGGGAGAUUUUGGAAUCAAAACCUCUGGUUGCAACUUAGUAUGACACUAGGGUGGUCUGCCCUAGUUGGUGUAUGGUGGUAGUAAUAGGUGUAUAUUAUCUCGUCUUUUUGUGGUUAAAUACUAGAUGUGCUGAAGUUGAUGCAUGGUAGUAGUAAUAGAUGUGUGGAAUUGUUACCUUGGUAGUGCUGAAGUUUCAAUGUGGAUAAUAAGAUGAUUAAAGGUGUUUAUACUGAACAACUCGAACUAAGUUUUUUAGUUUAUGACAGUUAAGUUGGGUCUACUAAUCCCUCGAGAAAAAGGGGGAAAUGGUGAUAUAUAUAAUCAGAAAAUUAUAAAUUUAGAGACUAAGUUUAGGAAUCUAACAAUUAGUGGAUUAAUUAUAUUAUGAUAGCAAUUGGUUUGUAUCUGUAAUAUGCUUAUAAUUGUCUUUUUAUAUACUGCAAUCUUUGUCCAUAGAUUUUGAUUUUCUUGUCUAUUUUUUUUUCUUUGGACAUUGAAAUAUCAAGUUGUGUUCUCAAUUUCUCACAAAGCAUAAACAGGUAGGUCAUAUUCCCAGAGGAUUUUAGUAACAAUGACUGCAUCUGGGUUGAGUGGCUGUCCCUCAAGAUGUCCCCAGCUACCUUUUAGUCGCCUAGGAUCACGCCAUGUUCGGGUUAUGGCUUUCUCUGUGGCUGGGAAAUCCAAACAAGGAAUGGAGUUUCUCCAGGUUAAAAGGUACACUAUUAAUCAUCACCUCAUGAGUUUGAAAAUUCAUGCAAGGUUCAUAGCAAGUUAAAUGGAUAAACAGUUUUUUAUUUUCCUCACCUUUUCACUUUACAGAACAAGUUAUUUUUCUCCUUUAUUAAAAUGCAAUAGACGACGAGUUCAGUUGAUCAAAAGUGCCAUGGAUGCUUCAUUUGGUGAUAUGGCUAAUGAUUCUGCUGGUAACAUUUCUUUCUUGAAGAAGCUCUAUCCUUAUGUUUUAUGAUGUAGAAAAUUUCACUGCUAGGGCAUUGAUAAUGUAAACUGAUUUGUUAGGUGCUUGGUAAAUGGUACUUUUUCCUCAAGCAAUACAUUAGUAAAAUAAAACUUAAUUGAAAAUGAUUAUGUGAUCAUCGUGGAUGUUUGGUCCUCUCUGAGUGCUAGGCUGGGAAUUUAAGCACAUUGUUCAUAGCUCUUGGGGUGUUUUUGAGAACUGGAACUGGAAUGUGAUAUAAAUGUUAGUGGUACCCUACCAGCUGGGGAGGCUAGGUGAACUAACUGAAUGCUAGGCUGGGAAUUUAAGCACAUUGUUCAUAGGUCUUGGGGUAUUUUUGAGAACUAGAACUGGAAUGUGAUAUAAAUAGAGUGACACCUUAUCUGCUGGGGAGGCUAGGUGGACUAACUGUAGGAGAUUGAAGGUGGACUAACUGAAUGCUAGGCUGGGAAUCUAAGCACAUUGUUCAUAACUCUUGGGGUGGUUUUGGGAACUGGAACUGGAACUGAAGUGUGAUAUAAAUGGAGUGGUACCCUACCAGCUGGGGAGGCUAGGUGUGGACUAACUGAAUGAGAUUGAAGGUGGACUAACUGUAGGAGAUUGAAGGUGGAAACUGUUUUUCAUUCUUUUGAUUUCGAGGGUACAAUUUUUUUUUUCUUUUAGUUUAUUAAUUGGUUUAUCGGUAAUAGAUUAUGCUUUACUGUUUGGCCAGAAUGGAUAUUUCCCUUCUUUCCCAAGCCCCCACCUUUCUUGUUGAAAACUGAAAGAUAUUAGUUGCUAGUUUGAUGGAUUUCAUUGUAAUGAAUUUUUUCAUUAAUUAUUUUCCACCUAAAGCGUAUGAAACUUGAAUCUCUUACAAAAAAAGCCAUUAGGGUUUUAAAUAGCGUGCCAUAGUGGUGGAGCAGUUGGGAGAAGCCCCUGCAGAGGGGCAAUAGCAAAGUGGUUUAUUGUAGUGGGUGUAGCACACGAAAUAGUGGCACGCUGUAGUGGUUCCAGAAAGCCCUUUGAACAGAGAAAUUAGAACUUUUUUGGGGAGGGUGUUUUUGGGAUUUCAAUUUCCAAAAUGAAAUCUUCAGCUGUAAUAGUACGUGGUAGAUGCUAUAUCUUUUUUGGGUUCAUCCGCUAUCCAGGAUUUAAAACUAUGAAACCAAUAAUAUAUUAUUGCGUAGGUUAUCAUUUUACUGAUGAUUUGCUGCAAAUGCAGCUGUUUUUCCAAGAAUUAAUGUGAAGGACCCAUAUAAACGACUUGGAAUAAGCAGGGAAGCUUCUGAAGAUGAGAUUCAAGGAGCAAGAAACUUCCUGAUUCAAAAAUAUGCGGGACACAAGCCAAGUGUAGAUGCUAUUGAAUCAGCGCAUGACAAAAUAAUCAUGCAGAAGUUCUAUGAACGGAAAAACCCAAAAAUUGACAUUAAGAAGAAAAUGAGGGAAGUUAAUCAAUCCAAAAUUGUUCAAACUGUCAGAGGAAGAUUUCAAACUCCAUCCACAAAAUUCAUUAUAAAAACAUCACUAGCAUUCUUGGUACUUGGAAUUUUAACUGUCCUCUUUCCAACUGAGGAAGGGCCAACUCUUCAGGUAGCAAUAUCUCUGAUUGCCACAAUGUACUUUCUAUAUGAGCGGCUGAAGAGCAAGAUUCGAACUUUACUAUAUGGGUACGUACACAAAUGCGUUUUGUUCUUUCAAAUGUUAUUCUCUGUUAGCUCAUCAUAUGUUAUUUUUUCAUUUAGAAACAUCACAUUGCCAUGGUGUGACAUUCUGAUGUUGAUUUCAUUGUGCCUAUCUCUAGAAUUUUAUUCAUCUGUGGUUUUUCUUCUUAUAUAACGUGAUGCUUUGAUGCAAGGUUUGGAGCCUUUGCUAUUUCGUGGCUGUUGGGAACCUUCUUGAUGGUGUCAGUAAUUCCUCCUAUUACCAUACUUAAGGGACCAAGGGCAUUUGAAGUGAUCUCAUCAUUGAUUACAUAUGUUUUAUUAUGGGUUUCAUCGACCUAUGUUAGGUGAAGAGGGUUUAAGGCAGAAGACCAGUUUUUGCAGUGGAAGUUCACAAAAUAUUAUGGCUUACCUUAUUCAGUGUUCAAAUUAUAGCUCAAAGGAAAAAAAAUGAAAUUCCUUAUUUUGUUGAUGAGCUGUUUUUUUUUCUAGAUUCAAUAUUUCAAUGAGCCAAGGAACUGGAGUUUUUUAGACACGGAAAUGAGUGCGUUUUGUUCAGUAUGGCAUGAAAGUUUUAGCUUUCAUCAAAUUGACAUAUAUCUCCUUCAAAGAGAUCUUUGUCCCCUUGAACGAGUCUAUCUAACGUGAUUCGAAUUACUUGUGAUCUAAUGUAAUUUCUAGGGAUCAAGGGUCUAAAAAAUGUUUACAUGCAUUAAUGUUGUUAUUCAGAACUGUGUGACCAAAGCUUUUCUGAUAUAAUAUAAUACAUAACCAGUUUUCUUUCUAUAUAAAUAAAAACAAAAUUCUUACAAACACAGUCAUGCCCUGCAAGCAAGUUCAUUUCCCAAAAUGCUACUAAUGACAUUUCAGUCUUGGUAGUAAAAAUAAUAUUAAUCUUAGGCCAUGCUUGGUGGUUAUAGUUAUAAGUUUUGAAACUUUGAACUUCUGAUCAUUUUUUGAAUUAUAUCAAUUUUAAUUGUUACUUUUUUCGACUUUUAUCAUUUUAAGUGUUAUCUUUUGCGUUUAUCUGAUUUUCACAUUUUUAAUUUUCAUCAUUUUAUCCUUUUUCUAAAAUUCAUUGUCGUAACAUAUGGCUACACAUUUAACGGGCUGAUAUAAAAAGUAGAAUAUUAAAAAAAGUUAUAGAAUAUGAAAUCAACUUUAAAUUUUUAAAAAUUAAAACUAGUUUUUUGUUUUUUCUUCUUUUUAAAUCUUCAUGUUAAUCUUAUAAUUUUCCGUUAAAAAGUUCAUUGGUAAGAUGCAAGACACUUCACGUGAGGCAAUUAUAAAGAUCUGAGAGUUAUGAGAAUCGAAUUAGUCAACAAGCCAUCAACUUAGUUAUGAAUCUGUAUCACUAGUAUAAUACCCUCCUUUUUGUUUGAUUUUUUUGUAUAUGUGAAUAAUUAUUACGAGAAUUUUCUAAAUAAGUAGUUAAAUAAAUUUUAAUUGCAACAUAAGUUUGGAUUUUUAUAAUUAAAAAUGGUAAAAAGGUUAUUUAUUGACGGAGUUUUGUAUCAGGCACCUUAUCUUAUAGUAUAUAAACAUUUUCCCUGGUAAAUGAAAAAAAGCUUAAACUUGGAAAAUGCUCCCUCCACCGUAUCAAUUUUUCCAUGCACCUUUUCCCUAAUACGAGAGGAUUGGGAAGGACGCACCUCUCGUGUGCCAGUUAUCAUGUCCACGGUAAACGCUGAACGGAUAACUACUGAAAGCAUCUAAGUAGGAAACCCACCCCAAGAUAAGUGCUCUCCUAUUCUGACUUUCCCAGAGCCUCCGAUAGCACAACCAAGACAAUGAUGGAUUCUCUACCCCAAUAGGGAUGGAGCAAAUGAAGUUUUGAGAAUUCAAGAAAAGAUUACGACGAGACGAGCCGUUUCUAAUUAAUGAUAAGUGUCAAGUGGAAGUGCAGUGAUGUAUGCAACUCAACCUGUUAUUGAAAAUGACAAAAAUACCCUCUAAAAAUGACAAAAGUAAUCUUAAAUAAAAAGAGUAAUCCAUAACCUUUUAUCUGAAAAUAUUCUGAAUUUGAAUAUUCAGAACACAUUUUUGAAUUCCAAAUUCUUUUAUCAAAAAUGGAUUUUUUAUUUAUUUAUUUUUGAAUUAUAUUUACUAUUCCAGAUUUUUAAAUCCGAAAUAAGAGUAAUUUUGAAAAUUUAAAAAAAUAUAAAGUGUAUGUUAGAAUUGAUAUAGUGCUGUGCCCUUAAACUUUACAAUCCAAACCCAAAUUUUAAGUCUUGAACUCAAUCUCACUAAUAUACUAUGAUAUUAGAAAAUCAACUUUAAAUUAACUCGACUUACAAAAUUAAUUUGUAAAAUAGAAUUUACACCUACUUAUCUUUAAUCAAGGUGAAAUAUCUAAUACAACUCUUACGAUGAGAUAAAAACAUAAACAUGCAGUGAGUAGAUAUGUUCUGCUUUAUAUUUGGUCAUUUUAUAUAAAGUUACUUAACAAAUAUUGCACGGUGUGAUAAUUAUCUUUUUAAAGGAAAGAAAUUCGAAAAGUAAUCGAAAGUUAUAGUGCAUCAUUGAAAGGGUGCAUGUAAAUAAUCAUAUAAAACUGCUGCCUGUGUCCAUGCAUUCAGAUAACCAUAAGUCCAUAUUGUCUGAAAUCUUUUGCCUUACUUUGUGAACUGCAUCAGGAGAGGUACAGUUUUUCUCACUACCUGAAAACAAAAUACAAAAUUACAAUGUUGGCUCAUAUUAUAACAUGAUUAAGCUAAACCAAUCUGAAUAUCAUUUAUUAAAAACAUAAAAGAGACACAUACCUCCAAUGGUGAACGGAGCUUGAGGACAUCCUCGAUAAUCAGAACAGUGGCCACAGUUAUAACAUGAAACAACGUAGGAAGGCACUGAAAGGUUUAAUAACAAUUAGGCAGCAUUCAAUGAACUGAAAAAAUAACAGUAUUGCUUGCAUUGCACACAAUCAAGGCAAAACAAUGUAUAUUUUUUACGAUGUAGCUACAUGAUUCAGAAUACUUCUUUUCCCCCCCCUUUAUUAGUCAAAUAAGGAUAAUGUUUGAGCUGUAACCUAAGAUCAUGUUGCUAACAUUCAAGCAAUUGAACAGGGUCACACAUUGGUUAAUGUAACUUUUAUUGGAAAUGAGCCACUCAUUUGUCCUAGAUAACCAUCAAAUAAACAAUCCAAGUAAGAUUCUAGAGAAAUAUGGUUCAAGUAUAACCCCCCAGAAAUAACAAGGAUCACAAAAGUUACUAACUAAACUGAUAAAAAAGUAACUAGCAACUUACAAUCAGGAGAUGAAGUUUGUUUGGACGCAUGGCGCCAAGGAUCUUGUGAGCCGUUUGUAAAUAUUAUUUUGGAACCUGUUCACGUACACCAGAAUAGAAUUACAUAAAAUCAGGUCAUAUUCAAGAAAUAGUAUGCAUAGUAAAACCAUAAGACGCCAUAAAAAGAUUGUACUGAAGAUUUUUUUCAUAUACUAACUUAUAAAUUUGAAAUAUGCAACAGAGAAUAUAAUUUUUUUCAAAAUGACAUCUUAAGCUCGUGUCAGGAUAAAUAACUAUGAGCAAAUCUAUGAGCAGGAUAAAUAACAACAGUAUAUAUAAUAUAAUGGGAAAGUCAAUGUCAUGUAAAUAUAUUAUUUAUGAAUUUUGACAUGUAUUGUUAAAUGUACAUAUGUUGCUAAAAUGACUGGGGUGUUAAGGUGGAGGAGAAUAACAUAAAAUUCAGGCAAAGGCAAGUUUCUAUACCAGCAAUUUUUGUGCCACCAUAGUAUAAAUUAGUUGCAUCAACGUCAGGAAAGGUGCCCUUUCCAAAGACAUUUUCGCAAAGGUCCAAGUGGUAUCUGCAAUGUAUGAGAAACCACUCUGUACAUAUUAACAACAUUAUAAAGAAAAAAAAUCCAAUAACUACAAACAUGAGAAGUAUGUAAAGCGAAUAGUGAGGAUAAGGAACUUGCUUUGUAUCAACUUUUGAGGAGCGAAUACUAUCAUUUGAGGGAGCCACCUGAAAGUAUGCAACUUCAGUGCAAACUUGAAACCACCAUAAUCGAGAAGCACUGUCUUCAUUAAUAUCAGUUCUUUUCAAGUACUUCUGAUCAUAACUCUGUACAGUAACACCAAAAGUUCCAGAGUAGUACUCUUUAACAUAUUUGGCAUAAGCAUCCUGCAUGUUAAAAUUAUUGUUUCCAUCAGAUGUAUUAAUCCACAAAGACAACUUUCUAAUGAAUUUAAAAUGGUGAUCCCGUGCACAAGGCUGCCACCUGGUGCAGUUAGGGGAGGGUAGAUGCGCACAACCUAACUCACAAGAUGGAAGAAACCUUACCACUGUGCCAAGACUUGCCCUCUAACAAAUGAAUGUAAAAUUGAAUAAAGACAAUCAUUGUCUGAUUAAAUGCACUAUCUCUUGCAUAUUACUUAAGAAAGAUACAAGUGACAAAAUGAAAAACAAAAAUAGAACAUUAUUUCAAUGUGCUAAGAAAAGAGGUGGAUGGAGCUAAUGAACAUAUCAAAUCAAGACACUCAAUCUAGAGAAUUCCUUUGUGACAAAAUACCAAAUUACAUGUUUAGUUAUGAAGAUCAUGAUUAAGGGGCUGAAUACAUCAGCUAGUGUGACCAUAACGAAGUAAUUGGAGUUAAGAGAAAACUAGUAAAGUAGAUAUGUUGUUUGUAAAUAUUUCAGAUAAAAGGGGCAGCAUAAAUGAAGAACCACACGCUAUCAUAGUGUACAUCAUAUUCAAAUUUGAGACUUUAAACCCCACCACCUUUUAUGCAAUGUGAGGAAUAGAACAAAUCUUGACUGAGUUGUAUAAAAUGACCAAGAAUCUUCAUACUAUUAGACUAUAAUUUAGAGUGGCAAAAGGAAACAAAAAACUAUAUAAACUAUCCAUUUGCAAACCGAGUGAACAAUUGGAGGGGGUGGGGAGUGUCAGAGGUUGUCAGUAAGUUAUACUAAAUCUCCCACCAGUACACACACACAUAAGGGAGAGAAGAACUCCAUCCACCAGUUUCCUAAUUUUUGGGAAAAGGAACCAAGUUGAAAAGCAUACCACCAAGUCCUCUCCGGCCUUCUUUGCUUCAACAAGAGGCUCACAUACUUUAUCUGGAUUUCCAUAUUGAAACUGUAAAAUUCAAAGAUCCAGAAAAAAGAGAAGACUGUUAAUGAAAUUUGAAUACAAGAAAUUGCAAUUAAUAACAAAACCACUUUAAUCGAAACACUUACUGCUGUAGCAGCAGCAUCAGCCAAAUAAUAAAAAAAGUCUCCAUCUAUUUCAAGCUGCAAAACAGAGGGAAAUAGUCAGUGUACAACAUGACAAGAAAACUAGUAAGCCUAAUAAUGAGCAAGAUAAUUCAUGUCCUGUGGCAAAAUAUAAUAUCCUUUUGCAAGGAAAGAGUAGCAAAGGAACAAAGCAUACAGCAUCUGCAUCAAAAGUGGCCUUCACUUCGCUUCCACUGCUUGCAAGUUUUUGUUCAACAAGUUGAGUAAUCUCUUGAAGCACUGCUUUACAUUCAGGACCUGCUGACUCACCAAUCUGCAGGUGAAAAAUAAAACCAAAAACUUAAAAUUGGUGGAAAUUAAAUAAGAGAAAACUUUAUUCUCCUUCUAUUUCAUUUUAUCACUCGUUUAAAGAAAAACAAUAGAUCAAUAAAGGAAGAGCAUUUUUUCACAGUGAAAUGGGGGGGAGUCAAUGCUACUAAAGAAACAAAAUAUCUUCUCCACCUGCUGAUCAAAUUCGGUGAAGUUAUAAACAGCAAGAACAACUGCUGAGCUUGCUAGACUUCCACAUGUUAAAUGGGGAAAUUUAAGACGGAACCAUGCACUGAGUGCUCCAGAAUAUGAGCCACCAAAAAUGAACCAGGGGUUUUCAAUUUUUGUUCUAUUAAGCUUGGCAUUUAAGGACUCCUGCAUGAAAUGACAGCAAUAAAUCAAACAAAAUUGACAGGAAACCGGCAAUCUAAUAAACUAUAAAUACCAUAUCUAGGAAUGGAUUAUUUAAAAGUUUGAGUCAUGUCAUAGACAAACCUGAAGUACAGUGAAAAAAAUCAAACAGAAGAGGGAAAUAUGAUUAAUUGAUAUCUAGAAAGCAUCCCAAAACUAUUAACAAAAUACUUGAUUGGUUUAACAGAUAUUACCUGAGAUAUAAUCAAAUAUGUUAGCAGGAAACUGUACAACUAGAAAUUGAGGCUUGAGUGCAGGAGUAAUGUACAUGCAACCACAACUCUGAUAUGACGGAGAAUGAGGCAAACCAAACUAGGGUAAACAGGGUAAAGAGACCGUAUACAUCUAUUAUUAGGAUUGGGAUUCUAUUUUGUUGAGAUGGCAUUCUAUUAGGGCAUUCUAUUAGAAUAUUUUUAGUUAGAAUCUUAGCACAUGGACCAUCACUCUAUCAUGUUAUUUAGCCUUUCACUAUUUUGGAUAUGCACAAUCUAGUCAAUAUUUCUUUUCUCAUAUGUCAUUCAAGGAGCUUCUUUUGACCUCAAACUCAGAAGAAUACAUACUCUCAUUUAGUUCUUUCAUUGGGAGUACCUCACUCCAUCUUGACCAUGGUUGGCAUACACGUCCAAGAAUACUAGCUCUCGAGCUAAUAGGUUUGAGGAAAUUGUUUAACAGUUGACUCGCUCCAAACUUAUUUCACUAACAAGACAGAGAAUGUGGUCAAUUGAAUAGUGGCUUUGAAGGGUGAUCUCCCAUUGUUUUGCAUGACUCUAGUCACAUUUUCACGAGAAGCAUUUUUUGAAGCUUGAUGCCUUUGAUUGAUGGUGACGAUCCUCAUGGUUGGAUCUUUAAAAAUCAUAGUUCUUUUAUUAUCAUGCAACUUGAGAAGAGAGAAUCACAAAAACCCCAUUGCCUAAAUGCAUUAUGGGGUUAAACACCUCCUUCUUGUUGAGUUUCUUUGCCAAAAAUCAAACAUGAGGCAUUAGCGCAACAACUUAGCACACUUAACUUAACCAUGUUGCACCUCACAUGGUUGAAUUAAGAUAAAUUGCAAGAUCUUCUUUGCCUUGCUCACCACCGCCCACCACAAGAAUGUUCACCCUCGUGACCCAUUGUGCCACUCCCGCACCAUCACCCAUACAACAAUUUUCUCCACUACUUUUGGCUCCUCUACCAAAUGCUUGAUUUAAGCAUCUCACCAAGGUUGAAAUUGCAGAUUGAAGUGAGAUUGGUCUUUGCUUCAAUUGUAAACAAAUAAGGUCACAAUUGCCAAGUGAGAUAUUAUUUUUGGUGGCCGAAGAAGUUGACAUGUUUCAAGGAGACUUGAGAGUGUGACCACAGACCUAGAAGGCAUUACAUCUCAAUUGUCAAUAGAAGCCCAAUCGACCCAAUCAAUCCUUAAUGCUUUGUCCACAAAACUUGCAUCAAAUAAAACGGGACAAAUUGCCCACCAUCCAAUAAUGAUUCUUGUUGAUAGUAGGAACCAUACUACCUUCAAGAUGGAACAACUGAUGCUUUGGGCCUCACUCACAACCCAACUUCAUUGAUACGUGCAAUGAUUAGGAAUGGGGUGCAAUUGACGUGUAAUCGAGUUUGUAAAACAAUACAAGGAUUGAUUCAAGGUCAACAAUUCAUUGUGGACCUCUACCUCUUGGAAAUGAGUGGCUUAGAUAUAGUACAAGGAGUCCAGUGGUUGAAACAACUUGGCCCUAUCUUCGUGGACUACCAAGCUCUCACCAUAAAAUUUGUUCAUGGGCAUCAUAUGUGGAAUUGAAGGGUUAUACCAGUUUUAGCCCAAAUCCACUCAGUUAUAACCAUAUAUGUAAGUAGUGUUAUCAAUAUCGGAUAAUGAAAAUUAUAAUAGGUUAUGGCGGAAGCAUCAAUACAAUAUAUACAUAUAGAUAAUUUAAAAAAAUAUAGAAAUGUAAUUGUAAUGCAAAAAUAAUGAAAGAGACAACCAUAAAUAAUAAUAAUAUUAUGUCUAGAAAUUCAAAUAUAAUCACAUCAAAUAAAAACACCACAAAUUUCAAGUUUAAAACAUAAAAUAAAUGUCUUAAAUUUUUAAUUAUCUGACUCUUCUUCAAUCCUAACAUAAUUAUCUUCAAUAUUAUCCAGUGGGUCAUUUCCCUCCUCCUCUUCCCUCUCAGAGAAACUCUUGUCAAAGUUAAGUAAUUUUUCGAACUUAAAACCAGAGCUAUCAUGACAACCCCAAUUUGAAUCUUCUCUUUGCCCCUCCUUGUAGGGGUUGAAGUUGUCCCUCGACCUUUCUUACAAGCAUGGGAAGAUCCAAUAACAAUACCACCACUUGAUGGUUGUUUUCUUUUAUUGGUUGCAUGUGUAAAUUAUUGGUUCUUCAACACCUAAAGCUUCAUAAAUAGUUAUCCAAUUCAGAGUGGGAUCAUCAUAACAAAAAAGCAACUCAUUCGCCCGCUCUUCAUUAUCCACUGGUCCCACUAACCACUCAUUAAUGUCAUUCAGUACAAUAAGGUUUAUUUCAUCCCUAAUAUUGUAUCUUUGAGCAAGUUGUUGGUUAUACUUUAUAUAAACCAAAUCAUGCAACAUUUUAUGGUCCAUCCUAUUCCUUUUGAGUGAAUCUGCAUUAUGAAUAAGUAAAAUAUAAAUUAAUUUCUUUCUAAAUUUUAUAAAAAAAGAUAACAAUGAAAUGAAUCAUGAACAAUAAUUAUUUCUUGCUCAAAUACAUUCCAAUUGUGCUCACAUCCCAAUAAACUACAUGUCAAACUUAAAAUCUUGAUUACUAGCUUUUGUAAGUUAGUAGCUACGUGUCUAUAAUUCCUCCACCAUUGAGCUAUAAAAGCAAAGAAAAUGAACAUUAUAUCUUAACGAAAUUUAGAAAGUGUUUAAGUGUCUUACCUGAGACUAUGUCUUUCUUGAUUCUUUGCAAAAUCAUCACCAAAGAGUAUACUUCCACUCUUAUAAAGAACUGAGUUAAAUUUUUUUGUUGCACAUCUUUACUUGACACCAACCUCUUAUACAAACACACAAUUCAUUUGUAGCUUCCAAAUCAUAUUCUUUUUCCAGACUGGAAUAACAAAACUUUGGGUUCAAAAAGUGACCAGUCGAAUGCAAUGGUCGAUGAAGUUGACAUGUCCAUCUAUUAUCAGUGAUUCUAAAUACAUCCUUGUAUUUACUUUCAUUAUUAUUGAAUGACUUCAUUAUUGUUUUUUUGGCUUUCUCCAUUGCUUCAUAUAUAUAACCCAUAUCUACUUUUCUUUCCAUCCACCAGACAAAAUACAUAAACAAGAGUCGCCAUGAAUUAGAGAGUAAAUAUUACAUCAUUCCAAAAUGAAAACCUAAGAACAAUUUUUGUAGCUUCCCUCUCCUUAGCUACCUUAGACAACUUGUUCUUGCUCCAUUCAUUUGAAAUGAACAUCUUUCUCAAAUUUCCAUUCUUUUGAUGCAACCUUUGUAAUGAUAAAUAAGAGGUACCAAACCUUGUAACUGUUGGCUUACCAAUUCCCUCUUAUUUGUAAAUUGUCUUAACAAACUAGAAUGACUAUAAAUAAAACCAAGAAGACUAACUCCUCUUUGAAUUGUUUUAUUUAUCAUAGAAAGCUUUCCAAUUUUUUCAAGCAUCAAAUCUAUACAAUGGGUAACAUAAAGAGUCCAACAAAGAUGAGGUAAUUUCUCUUCCAAUAAUUUACCAACUAACACAUAAUUGCUUCCAUUAUUUGUGAUAACUUGAGCCGCAUUUUCUUCUCCACAAGGAUAUCAAACAUCUCAAAUAGUUUCUCCCCUGUAUUUACAAAUUUAGAACAAUCAUUGGACUUGACAAACAUUUUUGUUGCAUAGGAGUUCACCAAAAAUUUAAUCAAACAUCGUUGCUUCCGAUCAGUCCAUGCAUUUGACAUGAUAGAACAAUCAUAUUUGCUUCAUUGCAAUAUAUAAUUUUUCAACAACUUUAGUGUAGUCAACUUCCUUGUUGAGAAGCGGAACUCUAAUUUCAUGAUAAGUAGGAGCUAUCAAAUUAGGUUCAUAAGCACCUAUAGCAUCCAUCAUAUCUCCAAAACUCUUCAAUCUUACAAGGUUGAAUGACAAGCUGCUUAGUACCAAAAUCGAGCAAUAUAUUGAUGAACUAAUGCCUUUAAAUUUUUGUCAGAAAAUUUCUUUGAUAUGUUAGGCAUAAAUCCACUUACUAAGAGUCACCUUGUGCAUCUUACAUACAAUGUUACUGAAAAUUUGUUAUGGCAGUGUCAUGGUGGAAACCGUUGGCGAAUUUGCAGCGUAUCGCCACAACAUGGCAGUGGUGAUCCGGGUUUCCCAAUGUGGCUUUAAAGGCAUCGACUCGUCAAUACAUUGCUCAAUUUUGGUAUCAAACAGACUUGUUAUUCAAUCUUAUAAGAUUGAAGAGUUUUCAUUAUAUGAUUGAUGUUAUAGGUGCUGAUGAACCUCAUUUGUCAGCUCGUACUUAACAUGAAAUUAAAGUUUCACUUUUCAACAAGUUGAUUACACUGAAAAGUUGUUGAAAAACAUGGUUGUUCUAUCAUGUCAGAUGCAUGGACUGAUAAAAAACAACGAUGUUUGAUUAACUUUUAGUGAGCUCCCCUAGGACAAUGUUGGUCAAGUCCAUUGAUGAUUCUAAAGUGAAAACAGGAGAAAAACUCUUUGAAAUGCUUGAUAGCCUUGUGGAGAAGAUUGAAAAAGAAAAUGUUGUUCAAGUUAUCACAGAUAAUAAAAACAAUGUGUUGGUUGGUAAAUUAUUGAAGAAAAAAGAUCUCAUAUCUAUUGGACUCCUUGUCCAUUGUAUAGAUUUGAUGCUUGAAGUCAAUUCAAAAAGCAGUUAGUCUUGUUGGCUUUAGUUGCUUGAGUUUGUUGAGAGACAAUUUACACGGGAAUUGGUAAGACACACGGUUAUAAGGUUUGCUACCUCUUAUUUAUCAUUACAAAGAUUGCAUCAAGAGAAAUUUGAAAAAUAUGUUCACUUCAAAUGAGUGGAACAAAAACCAGUUGUCUAAGAAAGCUAUGGGGAAGAAAGCUACACAAAUUGUUCUUAUGUCUUCAUUUUGGAAUCAUGUCGUAUUUACUCUCAAAGUCAUAGCUCCUCUUAUUCAUGUACUUCGUCUAGUGGAUGGAAGCUAUAUAUAUAAAGCAAUGGAGAAAAUCAAGGAAACAAUAACGAAGUCAUUCAUUAACAAUGAAAGUUUAAUAAAAUUAUGUAUUUACAAUAAUUGAUAAUAGAUGGACAUGCCAACAUCAUCGCCCCUUGCAUGCAACUUGUCACUUUUUGAACUCAAAGUUCUAUUAUUCCAACUCAAAAAUGGAAUAUGAUUUAGAAGUUACUGAAGCAUAUUAUUCCAUAAUUAAUGCAAAUUUCAUUUUCUAUUUAUUAGAACAUAUUUGAUAUCUUUUGGAGUUUUGAUUUGUAUAGCUUUAAUCACCUAUUUUUUAUUUCCUUAAUUAGGUUGUAAAUAGUCUAUAAAUUCAUAUUGUAAUCACAUAUGAAAAUACAUUCAAUCUUUUUCUUUCAACUUGGUAUAGAGUCAUGUAGAGCCUAUCCUAACAAGAGUUUGUUGAACUUAUCAGGUUACCCGAUAUUAGACCACUCAUAAAUAUAUAGUCUCACACACGAGUUGGCAGAUCUCGGUGUAACAACGACUAGAGAUAAGGACAUUUCAUAGUUAUAUAAGUAGGUGCAAACCUCAUUUUAUAAACCAGUUUAUAAGGUUAAGUUAGGCUUAAAUUUCACUUCCUAAUAUGUACUUGAAAGAAAAAUAUUUAAUGUAUUUGUGAAUGUAUUUUCAAAUGUGAUUACAAUAUGAAUUUAUAGACUAUGUACAACUUAAUUAAGGAAAGAAAUAAUAGGUAAUUAGUUAUAAAAAUAAAAACUCCAAAAAGAUACCAAAUAUAUCCUAAUAAAUAGAAGAUUGAAUCUGCAUUAAUUAUGGAAUAAUCUGCAACACUCUCCCUCCAGCUGGUGAAUGUAUAUCUAUCAUGACCAGCUUGCAAGUAAGAUCUUUGAAUUGUUUUGAGGGAAGUCCCUUAGUGAACAUAUCUGCCAAUUGGAGUCUUGAAGGGAUAUACUAGGUGGAUAUACUCCUUAAUGAAAUGUUGGCAUAUCUUUAUGUGCUUUGUUUGGUUAUGUUAAACUAGAUUGUAUGCAAUACUGAUGACAGACUUAUUAGAAGUUACAAAUGGAUUGUAUGCUUGCAUCAAGAGGUUGGGGCCAAGUAAAGAUGUGCAACAAAAAAAUUUAACUGAGUUGUCUCUUUAUAAGAGUGAAAGUGGACUCUUUGGUGAUGACUUUGCCAAAGAAUCAAGGAAGACCACAGUCUCAGGUGAGACACUUAAACGCUCUCUAAAUUGCGUUAAGAUAUAAAUUAAAUCAUGUAAUGAUUACAUUCUAAAUUACUUUCUUUGCUUUUAUAGCUCAAUUGUGGAAGAAUUAUCGGCAUGCAACUCCCAACUUACAAAAGAUAGCAAUCAAGAUUUUAAAUUUGACAUGUAGUUCAAUUCGGAUGUGAGCGUAGUUGGAGUGUAUUUGAGCAUGUAAUAAUCAUUUUUCAUGACAUGACGCAUUUCAUUAUUAUAUUUUUUGUAGAAUGUAGAAAUAAAUUAAUUCACAUUUUACUUAUUCAUAAUGCAAAUUCAUUCAAAAAUAAAGUAAUAGACUGGAGCACAAAAGGUUGCAUGAUUUGGUUUACAUAAAGUAUAACCAAUGCUCAAAGAUACAAUAUUAGGGAUGAAAUAAACCCUAUUGUACUCAAGGACAUUGAUGAGUGAAAUGAGUGGUUAGUGGAACAAAUAAAUGAUGAUAAUGAUAAUGAAGAGGGGGAAAUGAGUUGAUUUUUAUUAAUGAUAUCUCACUCUUAAUUGGGCAAUUAGUUUAUGAAACUUCAAGUGUUGGAGAACCAAUAAUUUACACAAGGAAACAAACAACUAGUAAAAGAAAACAACCAUCGUGGUGGUGGUAUUGUCAUUGGAUCUUCCCAUGCUUUUAAGAAAGGUCCAGUUGCAACUUCAUCCCCAACAAGGAGGGGCAAAUAGAAUAUUCAAAUUGGGGUUCAGAAUGAAUUGCAUGAUAGCUCUGAUUCUAAGUUUGAAAAAUUACUUAACUUUUACAAGAGUUUCUCUGAAGUGGAAGAGGAGGAGGGAUAUGCCACAUUGGAUAAUAUUGAAGACAAUUAUGUUGGGAUUGAAGAAGAGUUGGAUAAUUAGAAGCAUAAGACAUUUCUUGUAUGUUUGUUGUUAUUUUAAGUUUUGAAUUUGAAAUUUGUGGUGUUUUGAUUUGAUGAUAUUGUUAUUUUAAUUUCUAGACUUAAUAUUAUUAUUAGUUAUGUUUGUCUCUCAAUUUUUGUUCUUAGACGAUCUUAAACAAGACUUGUAAUUGCAUCCUCUAUUCCCAGGAGUUGUGUGCCAAAUGCCAAGAUACUCCUGACAUUGUCCACAAUUUCAACUCAAUGAUAGAUUUCUUAAUUUUCCAAAGCAAAAUUUGGAUUAGCCUCUAUUGUUUCGCAAUCUACUCUUGAAGGUAUUCCAUGAAUCCCAUAUUAUAGGGCAUGCUGGUUUCGCCAAAGCAUUGAAGCACCUGCCACAAAAUUUAACUGGCCUAACAUGGACCAAGAGGUGCGAAGUUUUGUACCACAAUGUCCAACUCGCUAGCAAACCAAGUACUCUCCACUAAAUCCUACUGGUUUACUUCAGCCACUUCCAAUUCCAAGCAACGUGUGGGGAGAUGUUUCUCUUGAUUUCAAAACUAGACUUCCUCCACCAUACAACUUCAUUAUUCUUGUCAUAGUGGACCAUUUCUCCAAAGCCAUUCAUUUAGGUGCCCUGCCUUAGGAUUUUACUAGUUACAAAGUGGUUGAGUUAUUUGUCUCCAUUGUUUACAAGCACCACAACUUCCCAAGAAGUGUUGUCUUCGACCAUGAUCCUAAAUUUAUUAGUCAUCUUUUGGUCUGACCUAGUCAAAUUAAGUGGCACCCUAUUGUGCAUGAGUUCUUCUUACCACUUGCAAAUUGAUGGAUAGAUAAGGGUUGUGAACCACAUUGUUGAUCAGUAUUUGCACGCUUUUGCUCACAUUAAGCCUUCUCUCUGAUUUUGCUACUUGUGUUGGGCAGAACUCCAUUAUAACACCUCGGUUCAUUCUUCCUUGGGCUUCUCUCCCAAUCAAAUUGUAUUUGGCAAACUACCUCCCUCUUUUCUCUCCUACACAGCAGGUGUCUCUUCAAUAGCUGCUUGUGGUUCUAAGUUACAAAGCCGUGAUGAGAUUUUUUUCUUUGCUACAUAGAAAUUUACUUAAGGCACAAAAGUCCAUGAAAUCUGCAGCAAAUAAGCAUCAUAUUGAUCUUAGUUUUGUGGUUGACUUGUGGGUUUAUGUGGAGCUUCAGCCAUAAGCUUUCUAAGCACUUUUAUGAUCCUUAUAGAGUGCUUGGCAUCUAGGCCUUGUGGCUUACUGCUUAGACCUGCCACCUUCAUCUAAGAUACACAAUUUUUCACUGCUGCCCCUGAAGGCACAUGCAGCAGGUCCACCUCCUACUCACAUUGAUCAGAUUCCAUGUUUCUUUGUUGACAACAAUCCUGCGGUGUCUCCUUUGGCAAUAUUGGUUCUUCAAGACUACUUUUGCACAUGGCUCUCCUAUCAAAUUCGCCUUGUCCAAUGGCGCCUUAUCCCCUGACGAUGCCAUGUGGAAGACUUGGGAUGACCUACUAGUUGCUUACAAUCUUGAGGACAAGGUUGUUGUGGAUGGGGUGGGGGAGAUAAUGUGACAGAGAACGAGGCAGCCGAAACUAGUAGGUCCAAGAGGAUUAGUGAACAGAAUAAAGGCGCUGUAUGCAUCUAUUAUAAGGAGAUUCUGUUUUGCUGAGAUGGCAUUCUAUUAGGUAUUAUGUUUGAAUAUUUUCUAUUAGAACGUCUAAGCACAUAGACGAUCAUUCUAUCGUGCUAUUUAGCCUUAUACCCUUCACUAUUUUGGAUAUGCAGAAUCUGGUCAAUAUUUCCUUUCUCAUAUCUUAUUCUAGGAGGCACCUCUAACCUCAAAUUCAGAGGAAUACAUACUCUUUCAAACUCCACGUACAAUCAUAACAUAUUUCAAGCCCAGGUAAAGUACAAAAUCAAUUAUUUCUUCUUUAAAACAUUAGGAAUAUCCAAGAUUUAUCUUUCUUAUACUUCAUUCAAUGCAAUUUAACUUAUUUUAAAUAGAUGAAAGUUAGGUAAACUGUGUAACAGAAAACAUCAUUCGAGAAUCAACUCAAUCCCACUGAACGUUGCCUUAAUCUGUAUCCAAAUGUCAAUCACAACCACACUAAUCAUUUCUGAUGAACGUUUACAGUUUUUUAAAAUUUGUCAAUCACAACCACACAAAUGGCUUGCAUUAUUCAUGCUCUUUUAGUCAUCUAAAAAACUUCAAACAAAAAACAAUCCACUAUUUUUUUAACCCAAUUUCUUAGGCCAACUUUUUUACUAGCGUCAUUUCUACCAAAUUGUUAUCAUCUACAACAGAAAAACACUGUAGCUUACCUGAUAAUACUGGCGAAAAGCGGCCAAAUCAGAGAGUGCCUGCUUGGAUGAAAGAUAUUUCAAAUUUUCUGUCUCCAAAGAAUUAAACGGAGAGCUCUUUCCAUAGUAGCGAUGUUCCAGAGAAACCAAAGCUGCUCCAAACUUCUUUGCCAGUACCUAAGGACGAAAAAUAACAAGGAAAUAUGUUUAUAAUAUUACGUUUUCUUCAAAAAGACCCACAUAAUUAUUUGUUGGAGCAAAAAGAAAAUUCACUCUUGUUGGGGAGUGGAUCCUAACUUCCUCAUAGACGAUAAAUACACGGGCCAACCCAAUAUUUGUUAGUACAGAUGAGUACCCUUUUCCAACAAAAAUAUAUUUUCUCUCACUCUGCCUUAUUACAAGACUCAAUUACCUAAUUUAUCAAAAUUAAGGAAAACGCGGAAAGAUAUGUUUUUAGAUCUCGCAUUUCAAAUCCUCCUUUCUUUUGAUUUAUUAUUUAAGUCUUUUUUUCUCUGUUGAUAGAUAUCAACAAAGAAAAAUGUGGAAAACAAUAUAAAGAUUCUUUACAAUAACACUAGAAACAAAUGGAAAAGGGAUGUAGCGCAGCUUGGUAGCGCGUUUGUUUUGGGUACAAAAUGUCACGGGUUCAAAUCCUGUCAUCCCUAUCCCUAACUAUUACUUAUCAUAUGAUAUUCCGUAUUCUAUGAGAUGAGCAAUAAACCGGGACCCCCUUCCCUUUGAAGACGAAUUCAAAUUGAACAUACAUACUGAAUAUAUAUAUAUAUAUAUAUAUAUGACUAAAUUAAUUUGGUAUCAGAUAAAAGAAUUAAUAGAAACAAACGACUCUUAGUUCAGUUCGGCAGAACGUGGUCUCAAACCCGAUGUCGUAGGUUCAAAUCCUACAGAGCGUGAUUCUAGUCNNNNNNNNNNNNNNNNNNNNNNNNNNNNNNNNNNNNNNNNNNNNNNNNNNNNNNNNNNNNNNNNNNNNNNNNNNNNNNNNNNNNNNNNNNNNNNNNNNNNGUUCGCUUAGAUAAUUACACUAGAAAUAAUUGAAACAUUACAAAAGAAAGUAUGAAUUUUAUCCUUGUACGAUUAGGAUUAAAACUAAAUAAAUAGGAAAUCCACAAAAAAAGAGACAUUAAUGAAUCAAAGAUCCAACUGAUCACCUCGUCGGUAUUGUAAAUAUGCAGUUACAAAUAAUCCAGCCAAAGUAAUAGGAAUUAAUCCUAAAACGAUUCCAAAUAGAAAGACUUCAAUCAUUUUUAUUUGUUCGGAAAGUAAAAGAAAGGUAAUAUCUAUCCUUAAAUAUUAAUCUGUAUUGCUCAUGAAUCUCAACGACCGAGAAUUGGAAAUUUACAUAGUAAGGAAUGAUAGAAUGUCUUAUACCAAAAUGGACUCUUCCUCUUCUCUCAAAAUUACAAAUCAAAUAAGUUGUAUUUUACUAAGACCAAUAAAUAGAGACGAGGUUAUAAUUAAAACCGCUAGUAAAAAACCGAAAUAACUAGUGAUAG
RNAcentral lists this long non-coding RNA (52618 nucleotides) under Phaseolus vulgaris (common bean). Its description in RNAcentral is "long non-coding RNA (PVUL_LNC004244)". The stretch from base 51699 to 51772 matches the Rfam family "tRNA". The record is from RNAcentral. Lineage: Eukaryota; Viridiplantae; Streptophyta; Magnoliopsida; Fabales; Fabaceae.